RNAcentral lists this long non-coding RNA (72493 nucleotides) under Triticum aestivum (bread wheat). RNAcentral describes it as "long non-coding RNA (TAES_LNC021736)". Lineage: Eukaryota; Viridiplantae; Streptophyta; Magnoliopsida; Poales; Poaceae. The record is from RNAcentral.
AUCCGCGUGUUCGCCUGCCGCAACAUCUCUCGAGCACAAUGGUUUAGACCGCGGUGUAGGCGUGAGUGCUCGCUGCUCGACCGUGGCUGAGCAAUCUUCGUGUUGUGUCAGAUUGUUACUCCAGUGUGUGUGUGGUUCAUGGUGGUGGUGGUGUUUACUGGUAACAUCAUGUGUUAACUUUUUCUCUGUUUUUAUUGUCUUCAGUUCAUUUGAGCUGCAGUAUACAGUAUACAGUUUCAUUGCUUGUUCAGUCAAGAAAUGGUAACCAGUUCUGCGUUGCGCGCUUCUCUUCUUCCGUGCGACUUCCGGCUCGUAUUUGAUCCAACGGAAACGGAAUCCUGAACUGCAGAUAGAUAGUUCUGCGUUUUCUGAAUUUUCUGUGAAUUUUCAGUCUGGAGUAGGCAUAUGCUGAGCAUAUUAUGGAUAGGAAGCAGCAUGCUCUCGGAAUUCCUGGCGUGCCGGCAAAUGUUAUCAUGCUACAGCACAGACAAUCCUCUCUCGGAAAGGAAAAAAAAAAACACAGACGAUAUGCUAAUAUACUCUGAAUGCAAGCAAUCUUCUGUUCUUGAAAUAGUAUGUCCGAAAAUUUUGGCAUGCUGCUUAAUAAGCUAAUAAAAAAGCUUAAAAAAAGAUUGCCGAGCAUAUUUGUCAUAUGCUUGCUUAGCUAGACGGUGGCCUCAAUCAUUAAUCCUUGAGUUUGUAUGCUGAGUGUGCAUGCCGCGCACGGAACCACCACAGCACGAGCCACCUGACGGCGCUCGUGUGUUUGGUGUGCCUCCAUUUGGGCACGCCCAGUGAGCUGACUGCUCACUUAAGAGGUGGUUCUCGCACGCUCGAGUGGCCGAGGUGGGACUAAACAAAACUGUGUCCAUUCUUGAGGGGCUGAAGUCUGAAGGCUGUGAGCACUGAGCAGUGUGACCUGUGUGAGCAGCUGCUACUGGGCUGGGCCGCAUGGAGAAAUGGUGAGGUAACCUGUGUUCGCAUUCUUGAGGGGUCGCCGCCGUCGCCAUGCUGCUGGACACUCCAGAGCCUCAUCUACUGGACAUCGGCGCGCUCGCCAACGACUAGCAAACCCUCAGCAGGUACACACUCCAAUACAGUGCAUGUCUGAUGAAUUCAGUUCCUGGCAGAUUUUGGAUUGGUAACAAUUUAUCAUGAUCCACUCAUAGUCAUAUUGGGUACUAAUAAUGACCAAUCUUAACCUUGUUUAAGAUACUAUAUACUUGAAUUGGUUAACUGUUAAUUUGGUAUCUGGGAUAAAUAGGAUUAUUUAAACAUAAAAUGCUGAAUUGUGAAUAUAAAAUGCUGAAUUGGUUAACUAGAAGCCACUGUUUGAUAGAACACAUUUCCUUCUGAACUGAUAGUUCUCACUCUGUUUGAUACUAGCAGACUGCUUAGGAAAGUUCCACAUUGGAUAAGAUACUCCUUAAAUUUUGGAGAGUCCACUAACUUUACACGGCUAGGUUCAAUAUUAAAAUGCUUGAAGCAUGCCAUGUGAAUCAUCAUCAGUGUGGAAACGGGGUGAUCUUUUCUUGUAAUAUACUCCCUCCAUCCUAAAAUAUUUGUCGCUGAUUUAGUACAAAGUUAGGGCGGAGGGAGUAGUACUUAACUGAAGUGAGUGUGUGUGAUGACCUGGGGGGGGGGGCUUGAAGUGCCAUGACCAUCACGGCAGAUACUAACUAGUUAAGACAAAAGGGAAACAUCAUUUCAGUCUCAUUCUUUCCCCCUCUUGAAAUUAGGUGUGAGAGUCUUGCCUGCUGUCUGAAACCUAGUGUUAUCCAGCUUCAGAAAUUCUUGCCCACCUGUUCUGCUUCUGUAUAUUGAUAGGAAUGUGCUUACAACAAUAAAUUCGAUUCCUGGUAGGUUGUGAUAGAUAAGGAUUUUUAUUCAGCCACCUUUUUCUUCUCUUUUCUUAGAAUAAAUUCACAAUGUUGCUCUCCAUAGGCCGGUCCUAAGAAAUAAACUAAAAUGGUCCUUAGUGUCAUAGUCUGUGUGAAGAGGCCUUGGUGUGUAAGUAAUACUUUCUGAAGUAUGGACAGUCGCAUGCAUCAUUCUUAGCAUGCAUUUGCUAUUUCUUUCAAGUACAAGGUGGGCAUACUCAUGCAUAAUGCAUUUGGUGUUGGUGUUGGUGUUGGUCAAUAAAAAUUGCUCUUCUGAACAAAAGUAUAUGCAAUAUGUGUUGGUCAAUAUAUCAAGUAGCUGUCUGAAUAAAAUUUCCAACUUAUAAUGCAGAUACGUCGGCUUCUACAAGGGUGUGCAGAGCGCAGGAGCAGCCGUGGCAUGGCAGGUCGACACCCACAAGACGUCCCUGCUGUCGCAGCUGAUCGUCAACUGGGGCCUGUGCACCGUCAGCUACCCGCUGCUCGCAGUCCUGGUGCUCCUGGCCGUGAAGGACGAGGACUACUCGGUGUCCAACGUCGACGACGCCGGCAAGGAGAAAGGGCCGCCCCGUCAAGCUUCCACUGAGAGGAUACAUCAGUUAUUCAUCAGCAUGUUCGUCUGCCGCGACAUCUCACAAGUACAGUGGUUUAGGCCUUGGUGUAGGCGUGAGUGCUCGCUGCUCAGUCAUCAUGCGAUCUUCGUGCUGUGUCCAACUGUUACUCCAGCGUGUUUGCACUUCAUGGUGGUGGUGGUGGUGUUCAUUCAUUGGUAACAUCGUGUUAUAUUUUUCUCUCUGUUUUCAUUGUCUUCGGUUCACUUUAGCUGCAGUAAAUGGUAACAACACAGAGAAUACAGUUUCAUUGCUUGUUCGAACCGCUAUGUCAACCAGGAAACGCCAUCCGGCUACGCGUUGUGCAUUUCUCUUCUUCCGUGCAAUCUCUGGUUCGUAUUUGAGCUCAUGGAAACAGAAUUCUGAACUGUCAGGCAGUUCGUUCGAAGUAGGCAACCUGAACAGCUAGUUAUGCGUUUUCUGAAUUUUUCAGGCAGUCUGGAGUAGGCAUAUCAAGCUGCAAUUUUCAGGUAGUCUGGAGUAUGCACAUCUUGAACAUAUGGAUAGGAAGCAGCAUGAUCUUCGAAUUCCAUGGCGUGCCGGCAAAUGUUAUCAUGCUACAGUACAGAUAAUCUUCCCUCAAAAAGAAAAAUAAAUACAAACGAUGUGUUUCUUAUAACCACUCUUUGGCUAGCUAAUAUACUCUGAAUACAAGCAAUCUUCUUUACCUGAAAUGUGUUUGAAAAACUGAGUACAGGCAAUCUUCUGUACUUGAGAUAUGUUUGAAAAUUAUGCUGCUUAGCUAAUAAAAAAAGGUUAAUAAAAGAUUGCCGAGCAUAUUUGUCAUAUGCUUGCUUAGCUAGACGGUGGUUAAAAAAAAAAACUACUGUAUUUGGCUAGCUAAUAUACUCUCGCAGUGAACAGCAACUUACACGAGAAGUGUCAAACGUUUGUAACACAUAAAUAAACAGAGUAAAAAGAAAAAGAUUGCCCAGCAUAUUUGACAUAUGCGUGCUUAGCUAGACGGUGACCUCAAUCAUUUUCACUUGGGUUUGUAUGCUGAGUGUGCAUGCCGCACACGGAACCACCACAGCACAUGGUGUGCCUCCAUUCUGGCACGCCUGCUCAGCUCACUGCUCACUUAAGAGGUGCUUCUCACACCACUGAGUGGCCGAUGUGGGACUAAACAACAAGGAAACUCUGUCCAUUCCCAUUCGGCAUUCGCGUGGAGGGGCUGAGGCGUGAAGGCUGUGGGCUGUGAGCAGCUGCUGUUGGGCUGGGUCCGCGAGAAAUUCGGAUUCAUACCGGAGUAAGCACUGCAGUAAUUUUGACUGCCUUGUCUAACAAAAAGUAAUUUUGAUUGCCUCAGUGCUCUGGAUGUGAAAUGCAAUUACCUACUGUGCUGGGCCGCAUGGAGAAGAAAUGUAAUAAUGAUAGGCGGCUGCGUUUGACACUGGUUGAUUAACCAAUCCAUUUCUAGAUUUUACAGUUGAAAAAAAAAUCUAGUUUCAUGACUAUUUUUUCAAAGCAGUCUAUACCACAACACAGUUCAGCAACGGGCGAACGAAGGACAAUUUUUGCCUAUUUUGGUGCUAGUUUGAACCAUUUAUCUCUAGGUUUUCAAGUUGAAUUUUUUUUAUCUCUAGUUCCAUGACUGUUUUUCACAGCAGAUCAUAUCGCAACACAGUUCAGCAACCGCAAAACUGACCCUGGUUCCGCAGCGCAAUGGAGAAAUGUAUACAAAUACGUAAAAUGGAGUUCCGCAGCGCAAACAGAUAUUGCUUUAUUGAGAUAAUUAUUAAGCUUAUAGCAUCCAGAUAGCUACAGUCACGAAAACGGGAGUACAAAGGUCACCCUGAAAACUGGCCCAAAAUUUCAAAAACAAUUACUUAUCAGAUAUGCCUACAGUCACAAAACAAUUUUACAUGUUGACACAGUAGCACCUGAAAUAGGGCCCACUGCCAACCUUUACCUUGUAUAUGCUCAAUGUCACAGGAUCUUCUACACGAGCUCGAGAACAAGCGCGGAUGCUCCGCCACCGCCAUUGCAGACGCCAGCGACCCGACUUUGCCACCCUUCUCCCCGAGGACCUGUGGAGCAGCGCAACAUGGUUAGGGCAUUUCUAACCAAUCCCCUAUCCGGCAUUAGAGGAGUACAAAGUCGGUUGGACGGCGAACCAGACUGUUUCUUGAGGCGACACAGCCGUAAGGCUCGCAACAAGCAAGCUACAGUGUUGCCCGCUGGUCGUUCCAUUUGCUGGGAGCUCGUGUCUUGUAGUUUCUUUGAGCACACUAUUGACGCAGAAGGCAAGCUCAAGAACCUGUUCAGGAGCAGCCGUGGCAUGGCAAGUCGACACCCACAAGACGUCCCUGCUGUCGCAGCUGAUCGUCAACUGGUGCUACUCGGUGUCCAACGUCGACGACGGCGGCAAGGAGAAAGACACCAAGAUGGCCGCGCCAUCAAGCUUCCACCGAGGAGAGGAUAUGUUUCAGUCAUUCAGCGUGCUUGCCUGCCGCGAUACUUCACAAGCACAAUGGUUUAGGCCGUGGUGUAGGCGUUAGCUUGGCCGACGACGACAAGGAGAAAGACACCGUCGCCCCAUCCCAGCUCUACCCUCAUGUGCUCCGGCACCGGUGCCGCUGAGGUGGACGGUGGAGCUACGGCGGCUGGUGGUGCCGGCAUAUUCAGUUUCAGCAUAUGCUCUUGGAAACAAGCAUUCAGUCUGGAGUAGGCAAAUCUUGAGCAUGUGGAUAGGAAACAAGCAGCAUCAUCUUAGAAUUCCAUGGCAUGAACCUACAAAUGCAUACACCCUAGUAGUGCUGAACCUAUGAUGCAAAAAGUGAAAUGAACUUGCUUCAGUCUGUGUCCUCCCCUCUCCUCUCCUCGCCCAUCCAAGUCCCUAAGUCAUAAGUCGCACGCGCAUCCUGCACGCGGAUGGAUUGCUACCUCUAGUAUAUAUAGUGAUGAGAGAUGGUCUUAGAAGAAGGUGGUUUGGACUAGGAAGAAAGAAGCCAGAGGGAAGGCGAUGCCAUGGAUCAGUGAGGUGGCAGGCCAUGCCACGGAUCAGUGACGUGGCACAAGCUACAUCCUUGUCAUUUCCUGAAAAUGUUUUUUAAUGACUUGGAAAAGAGAUUACAUGCCAUCACUAAGGUGUCUCUGAUUUUUAGCAAACUAUCUUUCACAGUCAGUCAAGCCAUUCUAUUAUGCUUUCUUUCUUUGAGGAUGCCAAAAAAUCAAUUGUUCUAUUAGGUUUGUAAUUUGCCUUUGAUAUUCAUUUUCCAACAGCAAUGAGCAUCCAAAACUCAUGAGUUUUAGUUUUCCAGGCAACAAACAAACAAAUAAUAAGGCUUUCGAAUAAUGUGAAUUGACUUAUCUAAACAGAACUCCAAUAAUUUAAUAAUUUGAAUUCUUUUGUCUCUUCUUUUUGAGAUAAUUUGGAUUCUUCGUUGAAUGAUGUGCCAAGUUUCUCGACAGAAUGUUCGUAGAGCAAACCACCCUGAUAUAUACAAUAAAUAAUAAUAAUAAAGUUUUGUUUGAACUGAGUUGCCUACCAUGCUAUAUACACAGGUCCCAGGUUGCCUAGUGCCCAGCUAGACAUGCUGAUUGUUUCUUUUGCAAAUAUUGAUUGAUGCUGAAACAAAAGGAGAUCACAGCUGUAUGUUCACUUGUUUCAGCCAAUAAAUUAAUCAAGGAGAAUAUAUGCGUGAGGUGAAUCCAAUCUAUAUAUCGAGGAAAACAAGAGAAACAAUCACUAAAAACAUCACCGGUUCAUGAGUUCAAACAAAGCACAUGGCAUAGCUCAUUAGUUCAAUAUAUCUCGUGAGGUGAAUUUUCUGUCUGGAGUAGGCAUAUCGCAAAUGUUAUCAUGCUACAGCAAAAGGUGAAAAAAAAGGAUUGCCGAGCAUAUUUGUCAUAUGCUUGCUUAGCUAGACGGUGGCGUUUUAAUCAUUAAUUCUUGGGUUGUUAUGCUAAAUGUGCAUGCCGCACAUGUUACCACCACGACACGAGGCACCUCAUGGCUCUCGUGCGCUGGGUGUGCCUCCAUUUGGGCACGCCUACUCAGCUGACUGCCCACUUAAGAGCAUCUCUAGCAGAACCUGCAUAAGUGGUCAAACCCGUAAUUUUUUUGUGUUUUAUAAUUUUGGGCGAAAACAUGUCCAUAACAGAAACCGUAAAAGUGGUCCAACCCGUAAAAUUUUUAAGGGCCGUCGCAAAUGCACACCCGAAACCCUUAUCUUUGGAGGUUGGAAGGCCGAAUCUAGGGGGCCCCGUAUACCGGUCAAACCUCGUCGGAGCAAACACGCCGCCGCGGAGUUUGCCGACAUUCGCCCUAAACUCGCCGGAAUUCAUCACUGCUCACCGGAAAAGGCCGCUAGGCGACGCAAUAGAUCGCCGCCAGUUCGAAUUGGACGAGCUCGACAUAGCCGUGGCCUCCCAUGACCUCAGCCUGACCGCCGGAAUCCUCCCGGCGUGGCAGGCAAAGGGGCACGACUCGGCUGGCAAUAGAGCACGGCGCGGAAGGCCGAGGCGGCGGGGCAUGGCCGGCAAGGCUGGGCGCGGACGAUGGAGGCGACGGGGCGUGGCCGGCGAGGCUGGGCGCGGCCGGUGCGGUGAUGGGAAGCAGCCGACAGGGCCGGGACGCGGCCGACGGGCGACGGGGCUCGGCCAACGAGCGACGCGGCAUGGCCUGCGGGCGAUGGGGUGCGACCGACGGGGUUGGACACGGCCGGCGUGGCCGGCUGGGGAAGGGGCAGCAGCGGACGGACUGGAGGAAGGAGCUCUUUAUUUCAGUUUACAGUUUGUUUUACAGUAUGUUCGGCCGCAGCUAAAAUAAACCCUUAAAAUGCACUUUUUCCAACUCGUAUCCCAAUUUUAUAAUUUGUGAUUUAAGGGGUUUGCUAGAGAUGCUCUAAGAGGUGGAAUGCAAACGCUGGAGUAGCCGAGGUGGGACUAAAACAGAUGAAACUCUGGCCAUUCUGCUCUGUUCCUGAGGGGCGCUGACUGAGGACUGAAGGCCAUGGGUAGUGGGCAGCUGCUGUUGGGCUCGGCCGCAUGGAGGAAUGGUAAGCACUGCGGUGAUUUUGUUCACCUCACUGAUGUGGCCGGGCUGGGGGAGUUCGUUGUUUCUUUUCGUUUUUGGAGCUGUUUCUAAUAAUUGAUGGAAAGUGAAAAAUGCCUUUUCUGCUUGGUGUGUUAGGCAGCUUGGAAUAUGGUGUGUUUUCAGCAAGGGGCAAGACAGAAGAAAGCGCUAACUUAAAUGUACUCCCUCCGUUCCUAAAUAUAUGCUAUAUGACGUCUUGGUAGUUCAAAUUAAACUACCAAAACGUCGUAUGUUUAGGAAUAGAGGGAGUAGAUAUUUUCUAGGGGUUAUAAAUAAUGUAGAUGUUUGAUGAUCAAUAUGUUCUAUGAAAAAGAGAACGUGAUGAAGUGUCAAAGCACAAAAUGGUACUACUUUUUAUCAAUUUGCUCCUUUAGUUUGACUUUGAUGGGCUUGAUUAACUUGGGUCAACAAGGUUAGCAUAGGAAAUAAGUUCAGUUUACGGAAAAGGCCUUGGCAAUCUAGUCGCUCCCGCGCGCGAUUCCAAGAGGAUAUCAAACUUUAACCACCGUCACACCCAAUUUGAGGCAGCUUCUCACUAUGCAAGCGGUGCUUCUCUUUCUCCAAUUUUUAGUUGCUUGCAGCGUGGGUUGUGAUGUAAGCCGUGUACCAGGCUCCCCUUUAUCUUUCAGUCGUUGUUGUUUUCUUUUCUUUGUGUGUGGUGUUGGAAGAUGUAAUGAUGGUUGUAAUUCCUCGCCAGUUGAUGGCUUUGUUAAUUCAAAGCUGGGCUCCUGUCGAACCUUCGUUCUAAAAAAAACAUAUGUCGUCCAUCUGUAGCCGAACUAGAACCAACGGCGGAUGGUCUACAGGAUUCUUCCAAGACAAGAUCAUAAGCUGAUUUUACUGUGAAGACUCCCAGCUUCCGAGGACCCCAAGCAAUAACAUCUUCCCCGAUCCAUGGCGAUGCUCUAAUUUUCCGAAUUUUCUGAAACAUAACUGUGAGAAGAUACAUUGAUUUGUACUUUGCAAGAAAAGUACAAGAAUAAGAGCUAGAAAAUGAUCUCAGUUUGUUUUGUUGACUUGCCACAAAACUAGAAAACUUUUCACGUAACUUUAAUUGUGUAGUACAUAAUAGUCCUGUCAUCUAUAGGUGCGAUUUUCUCUUUGUUUCGGUAGUUACUGUUCUAUUUGAAUGAAUCAAGAGCAUAAUUGGUUUGAUGCCAACAUUUGGCAUUGCCAAUACUUGGUAAGCCAACAAUUGGCAAUGUCAAAAGUUGCCAACAAAUGAUAACAUUUUGUGAGGUUGGCAAGUAAAUAUGGUAGCCAGUCAAGCACUAGCCAAAAUUUGACAUUUGCCAGAUGUUGGCACGCCAAUUUUUGGCAUCAAACCAAUUAUACUCCAAUACUGUUUGAAAGAACUAAAGUCAGUACAGUAUUUUUAGUCCGUAGCACAGGCUCGGAAUCCCGAGCUCUGCGUCGCUGAUAAACGUGGACGAAUGCAUGCCACAGAAUGGCUGGUAGCCUGGUACGACAAGUUUCAGUCUGGUAUAUUUUUCCUUGAAAGACAAAUCUGUGGUGGUUGGCAGUUGGCAGUUCUUAAACGGACACUAAAUGAAUGCCUAACUUACUCUGUAGACUGAUUUCAAGCGUGCAAAUGAUUUUUUUCUUUUGGAAUCUCGAUCUCCCUAUAUAAUAUAUGGAGGCCAUACCGAACGAGUUCAGGAAGCAUAACACUUCGAGGAGUUGAAGUUCUAGUUCAGGUAUGCUCGAUGAGUCAACUCUUGUAUUGUUUCUAUGAUUCUGAGUUCUUUGAAGUUAGUUAGCGGCAUUUUCUUGCGAGUCAAUUACACCACAGGUGUCUGAAGUUGGCGAGAAAAGUCAGUUUGAUGCUAAAACUUGCGGCGUACAUUGAACCGGUGACAAAACUUGGCUUCGAUGUGCAUCUACGGUGCAAAUCACGUUUAUAUACGCACAGAGUGCUGACGAGGCACGCCAAUGUGGCGUGGGACCCAGUUUCAGUGACAGGUAGUUAGAGACAAGGGCGUGUGGUUUGAUUUUUGUGGAAAACACCCUGGAUUUUUAUCAUCAUGGAAAAGCCACUUGUUUUUUCUUAGACAAAUCCCUAAAAUGUAGCUACGUCUCUGUGACAGUUGGGGCCUACCCUGCAGAAAACAGUACAAAGAGGAAACCAAUAUGGCAAAAGUGACAGCGGGCACUCGAACCUGCGACCUCAACUUAAAAUGGGGUCCGUGCUAGCCACGCCUCCAAGUCUGCCUUCAUACCUCCUGGGAUAGACAUACUUAAUUAGCAAUAUGUGAGCACGAAAAUGGGGCUUAAAUGGGCAGCAGCAGCCGCGGACCAUUUUUCACAUGAUAUUUUGUUAGUUCAUAAAUACUAACAAUAUUCACAUUUAUUAUUUUAAAUUUUUUAUUUUUCUUUAAAUUAUGUAAACGUUAUUAUAAAUAAUAAUAUGUCUGGUAAAGAUAAUACACGAAUAUUUUCGAUGAACGCACUAAUAUAGCCUAUAAAUAAAUGAAUAUAUUUUGAAAUAAUAUUUUUAUAAUUUAUAAAUAUUGUUUCAAUUCUAUGUUUGUUUUAAAUAAUAUGUGAAUAUUUUUGGGAUAAAAUGAACAUUCUUUUAAAUAAGAACAGUUUUUAUAGUUACAAACAUUUUUUUAAACCAGGCAUAACCCGUUUCCAUUACUGUGACAUAACGUAAAUACAUCAGUCCAGAAAAAGAGACAGGAGAGGGGAGAGCGGGUUGGAGCAUCGUCGGGAAACCCACUGUGAGCACUCGCCAUCGAGAUUACCCACUGCAGGAUGAAAACCUGGCGACACCAUAUAUCAGUUUAACUGGGCACAACAGCCCCCUACAUCCACCAUAAACGAGAUGGGCUGCGGUGAACAUUUGUAUGAAUAUUAUUAUUAAUUUAGAUAUUUUUACAGAAUUCUAGGAAAGGAAGAAAAACUAACAUCUGCAAAUGGGCCGUGGUGACUGCUGCACACUUAAGCCUUAUGUGGGCGUUCGUUUAUAUUCAGUCCAUUAAGGAUACAAAUUUGUCUCAAAAAAUUAAGGAUACAAAUUGUACUUUGACCGAAAGUGAUACUUGGUGUGGCGGUCAGCCUGUCCAGCCAGAUGGGAACAUGUCGUGUGUUCGAUACUGUGCGCAGCAUUAUUUUGCGUCCCAAUUUUUGCCCUGACUGGUGGGGCCCAAGUGCCAUAGUGACGUUUCAUUCGUUUUUUCAAGAAAAAAAAAUUGAGUGUCAUUUUGUGAGUAAAAAAAAUUCCAGGGUGGGUUUCACAAAAAACAGAGGCACACGCCCUUGCAUGUGCUUUCCGGUCAUUGACACUGGGUCCCACGCCAUGUUGGCGUGCCUCGUCAUCACUCUACGCGUAUACAAACACGAUUAGCACCGUCGAUGAACGUUCAAGCCAAGUUCUGUCACCGGUUCAAUGUACGCCACAAGUUUUAGCACCAAACUGACUUUCCUCGCCAAGUUCAGACACCCAUGGUGUAAUUGACUCUUUUCUUGCAAAAAAGUUAGCUGCAUUAGACAUCUCAAUUUAAAAUUAGUGUGGCAUUUGUAGUAUAACUGCAUCUUGCCAAGUCGACACUAAAUUAUUGCUUAGAUUAGCAGAAAUCAGUUUUUCUGUUCACAUUGGUUUUGCUCCACUGCGGGUGACCGUGUGCACGCAAAUUUAUUAUUCAUAUUUUCAAGCAUUUUCCUCUUACUUGUUGUAUUCUCGCUAGGCUCACAUCUACCGCUCACCCUUCCCACACCCUGGGUGAUUCCUCGCCCACCCACCACCACCCUGUGUAUGUUGUGCAAUUUGUUUUGUAACUUUUAUUAGUAUAUAACGUGCCCUGAAAUUACUCGAAAUCGCUAACCGAAACAAGACAUAUUCACUUUGACCAUAGCCACCCGCACUUGCCUACCCAACAUGCUAUUUUAGCUAUUCUCUCUUCAACCUCCUCUAAGAGCAUCUCCAGCCGUUGGCCUCCAGGGGCGCCUAAAAUCGCCGCCUGGGGGCGAGCCGACGCAAAAAAGGGCCUGGGGGCGAGUUGGUCCCCAGUCGUCGGUCCCAGGGCCGUCCCCAUAUGCGCAUAAUUUUUUUUUAAAAGUUCGGCGAAAUUUGGUUAAACACGACUAAACUUCGGCAAGCUUUGGCAUAUAUUGACAUGUUCGGCGGCACAUAGCAAAUAUAACUAAAAAAGAAAUCGCUGAACGCCGAGUAGUCGUCGUCGUCGCCGCCAUCCACGCCGCCGUCGUCGUCGGCGGCCUUCUCCUCCUUGACGGGGCCGUCCCUGGUGGACCCCUGACCGGCGUCGCCAACGCGGACUGGUGGCGACGGCGUGUCGUCGUCGUCGCUGUCCUCGAUAACGACGACUCCUCCUUCGUCGCGGCCCCGGCGCUGCUCGAACCGCCGCAGGGCGGCGCACUGGCACUCCAUCGCCAUCUUGAGGGAGUCCUUGCGCGCCCAUUCCAGGGCCGCGUCAUCGUUGACCUCCGCGUCGCCGUGCUCCGUCUUCACGGCGGGGAGACCCGGCUCCGUCUUCAUCGGCGCGAGCCCCGGCUCCGUCUUUGGCUUGACGAAGCGCGGAGGAGCCGAUGAGGAGGCGCGCUGGCCGCCCUCGUUGAUGACGAUGCCGGCGAUGUGGGUGCGCCGGCCGAGGGGCGUCUCCACCGCGGACUCGGCCUUGAUGCCGAGCAGCGCCGGAGAGCCAGAGGAGUGGGAAGAAGAGUGCGAGGAGGAAGAAGACGAGGAGCCGAACCUCCUGGGCAUCCAUUGCCUGACGUGUCGGCGGUGGGCCGGGGCGGCCGCCCUCGCCGGGGGAGGGUACGCCAGCGGCGGAUUGUUGCCGCCCUCAAGGUGCAUUAGCACGCCCUCGAGCGUGCGGCUGGGGACGCCCCACCACAGGUGGCGCCCCUCGCUGUUCUUCGUGCUGCCCACCACCGACACCCCGUUGGUGGACACCAGCCUCUGCUGUUGACGGCGCUCGAAGUACGCCACCCACGCCGCGUGGUUGUCGGCGGCGUACUGGGGGAGGGCGCGCUGUUCGUCGGUGAGGGAGGCAUGCACGAUCUCCACCUCGACGGCGAAGUAGGAGGGGCGAGCCACGGCGUCGGGCAACGGGGAAUGGGAACUCUCCCGUUGCUGAGCCGCCACCCCGUCGGCCCGGCGCGCAUGUCCGGCGGCGUCGAGAUGUUGGCCUCGAAAAGGAGCUACAGCUCCUGUUCGCGAAGCGAGCGGCAGCCGAAGCCAUUGGCCGCCGCCUCGUCGCCGGGGAAACGCUCGGCCAUCGGGCUGUCGGUGGGGGAGGGAUCGGAGGCGGCGCACAGGGGAGGAAGAGGGAGGGCUCGACAGCGACACAUGGGAGAGGGAAAGCUCAGCGGCUAGGGCUUGGUGUGGCCGGGGGUGAGGGAGGCCACCGGCUUAUAUAGACGCGCCCGUGUGUACGCGUGCGCAGGAGGGGAGGCGUCGGCGCGCCGCCCAGUGACGCGCCGCCCGUGAGGAAUCAAUGGCAAGGCUGACCAGCGGCGGCAGCGCGGCAACCUUGGCAUUGAUUCCCGUAGGAACCGAGGCGAUGAGGGCGACGAAGCACCCGUCUCGCUGACUCGGCGGGCCCGUGGUCCUUCCGCGCCAAAAACGAUUCGCCCGGCGCGUCGGGUUCGGGUUGGGUCAGCCGGCACUGAUUUCGGCCCAAGCCGGUAAAAAUCGGGUUCCUGGAGACGCGACUGGGCCGUGUUUUCAGCGCCGACGCGAAUAAAUCGCUUGGGGAGGCCUUUCUGGGGCUGGAGAUGCUCUAACCCAGAAUAAUUGUACCGCCCCCUUUAGAGAUAGACUUUCUUAUUCUCUAAGCUAGGUAAACUCCCGAAACAUAAUAAGCUAAGUCUCCGCCGAUUUAGGCAAAGCAGACCUGGAGAAAAUAAUGGGAGUCAGUGUCCUUUAAAUGCCUUGUUUCCUCUUCUUUACGAUGGCUUCUUCUUAAAUGAAAAAAGAUCUCUGCUGCACUUAUGCCUUCAAACCUGAAAAUAGUGGUUAUUACGACACCAGGUGAAAUAGCUAUUUUUUCUUUUCUUCCUCCCCUCGACCUAUUGAAGUUGCGCUCACCCACAACCUAAGCCCUACAGUCCCUUCGCUUACCGCCUAAUCUUAAUCUAUUGCCCUGCCUCCAAGAGAAGAAAUGGCAUCAACUGAUACGAUGGCAGCUAGUUCCAGGGAAGCUGCUUCAAUGGAAGUUGGAUCGCCUAGUUGCUUUUGAGUUUGAUUUGAACUAGUUUCCAAGCUUUUUAUCAUAGAUGCCUACCAGUAUACUUAUAUUUUUCAAUCUGAGUGUUCCAUCGGACUUACUCCAUUUGCUUCUAGGGUCCAUUGCUUAUAGGUAUAGAUAGAGCUGGAGUCCCCAGUGCUAGAAUGAAAUGUGAGCAUAGAUUGAUUAUCUCACUGCAUAUACAUAUAGUAACCGGUUAAUAAUACAAAGGGUCCCUAAUACUAAUCUCGACAUGAGCGGAGUCCAUGCUUUGUGUCACGUCAUUCACAACUUAGUGAAAUCAUUAAUUAAGGAUCACUUUUUAUGAAGGUCACUCCCACCUCCCCAAGUUACGACCAAUGGCACACUGCAUGUGUGUCACUUGUCGCAACAUGAGAGGCAAAGUCGUGCCUCUCACAGAAGCAAAUCCGUGCCUCCCGCGCAAGGAUAAGAGAAAAAGAAAACACAUUUUUUUUCGUUUCUGAGAGGCACGGCUGUGCCUCUCGUGGAAGCAAAUCCAUGCCUCUCGCGAAAAAAAAACAUGUUUUUAUUUCGUUUUUGAGAGGCACGACUGUGCCUCUCGCGGAAGCAAAUCCGUGCCCUCGCUAAGGGAAAAAAGAAAGCACAUUUUUUUCGUUUCCAAGAGGCACGACUGUUCCUCUCACGGAGGCAAAAAAACAUGUUUUUUCACACAUACAAUUUCUUUUGUCCAAAACCUAAGAAAGACCGGGGAAGACCGAAAAGCCAAAAAAGUGGGGAAAAACCAUCUAAAAAGCCGAAAACUCAUGUGAAAAAAAACUUGGAGGGAGCACCCAGAGCGCGACAUGUGCGGCGGCUGAAAGUGCGUCAAGUGGCACACUCUCAUCCCACCCCAAAUGACCCUUGCGGGGGCUCCCCAAAAAGUACUCCUUCAUUAAUUGCUCCCACAACUUAGCUGCCACGGCUGCACGCCAUGGGCUCAGCCGACGUUUCCCUAGGGCCGAACACCAACAUCGUUUGUCACCGGGUUGGGUGCCACACCUCUUGGGCUAGCUACGACCAUUGUACACCAUGGGGAUGGCCAACAACACAUCCCUAGGAAGACAACUAAUGGCUUGUAAGUGCAUAUUUUAGUUGUUACUGCUUUCUGAAGUAAGGGUAUCAAUCCACGAAGAGACGAAGAAAUGGUCAUUUGCCCUUUGUAGAAGUUCAUGGUAAUGUGCCCGUAAGUUAUUAGUUGAUUCCAAAUGAAGGCGUAAUGGUGAUGGAAUUAAUGGAGAGUGAUUAAAAGUAAGUAACUCAACCGUGCAGUGGAUAAAGUAAAGAACAUAGGAGAACUUAGUAAGCUAUAAAAUUGAGGCAAUAUGUUAAAUUUAGUGCAUUAUCAUUUUUUACUUGUGGGUAUAUUUUGGUCUAAGCACAUUUCAUUUUACCGAGGUUCGUCUUUUAUGGAAAUUAAUAUGCCAUAUGCAUAAAAUUACUAUCAAUACAAUAUGCAUAGUAGAUAUGACACUUGAGAAACUAGCGAUUGUCUGAAGUAUUGCCAUAUUGGCAGUCAAAUAUUAAUUAGAUAGUUCGCCUUGGUCACUUGUAUUCAUGUCCUGGGAGAAACAAAUUGGUUUCCUACUUAUGGUCAACCUUAGAGAAACUCGAGCAGAGUUACCAUACGCUCUGGAGCUCCAUAAUAGUGGCCAGUAUGGAGGUUAGCAGAGUCGCCAUAUGGGUUGCUAUUGCCAUGCAUUAUGGAGUGUCCUCCAUAUCUAGUCUCCCAGCCUUCGUAUUUGUUGUCCUGAGGCCAACUUUUGGAGUGCACUACAUCCAACAAAACUGUUUAGCGCGUAGGAAACUUCAUAUCGCCCCCUCCUCACAUGGAGCUGGAAGGGGGAUUGGGGGGAAAGGAUGUCCCAUUGAUGAGUGGGCCCGUGCUAUUUGUGAGCUGCGUUGGGAUUUUCCCGAAGAGGGGAUGAUGCAGUACAGUAGAGAUAAGUAUUUUCCUCAGUUAUGAAAUCAAGGUUAUCAAUCCAGUAGGAGAACCAAGCAACACUAUGUAAACAACACCUGCACACAAACAACAAAUACUUGCAACCCAACAUGUAGAGGGGUUGUCAAUCCCUCAACAGUUACGAGCAAGAUUAAAUUGUAUAGUUUUUGAUAGAUAUAUCUGACAAAAAUACAAAAUAAAAAAAAAUUUGCAGCAAGGUAUUUUUAGGAUUUUUAUAUGAUAAAAGAUAGACCCGGGGGCCAUAGUUUCACUAAAGACUUCUCUCAAGAAAAUAGCAUAUGGUGGGUAGACAAAUUACCGUUGAGCAAUUGAUAGAAAAACAAAUAAUUAUGACGAUAUCCAAGAUAGUGAUCAUACAUAUGCAUCACGUCCAAGAUUAGUAGACUGAAACGAUUUUGUAUCUACUACUAUUACUCCAUACAUCGACCACUAUCCAGCAUGCAUCUAGUGUAUUAAGUUCAUGAAAAAACGGAGUAAUGGAUUAAGCAAGAUGACAUGAUGUAGACAAAAUACACUCAUGUAUGAAUAAACCCCAUCUUUUUACCCUUAAUAGCAACGAUACAUACGUGUCAUGUCCCUUUAUGUCGCUGGUAUUGAGCACCGCAAUAUCGAACCCAUUACAAAGCACAUCUUCCCAUGGCAAGAUAAAUCAAUCUAGUUGGCCAAACCAAGCCAAUAAAUCGGAGAAGAAACACGAAGCUAUAUUAAUCAUGCAUAAAAGAGUUCAGAGAAAACUCAAAUAAUAUUCAUGGAUGGAUCUGAUCAUAAACUCACAAUUCAUCGAAUCUCAACAAACACACCACAAAAAGUCAUUACAUCAAAUAGAUCUCCAAAAACAACAAGGAGAGCAUUGUAUUGAGAAACAUCGAGAGAGAAGAAGCCAUCUAGCUACUAACUAUGGACCCAUAGCUCUGUGGUAAACUACUCACACAUCACCGGAGGGGCAGCAAGGUUGAUGAAGAACCCCUUUGUGAUCGAUCCCCCCCUCCGGCAGAGUGCCAAAAAAGGUUCCCAGAUGGGAUCUCUCGAGAGCAGAAGCUUGCGACAGCGGAAAAAGUAUUUCUUGGACUCCCCUGUUGGUUUCUUGAUUUAUGGGUAUUUAUAGAGGCGGAGUUAGGUCAAAGGGAACUCUGUGGGCCCCACAACCCAUCAGGGCGCGCCCUGGUUGGUCGUGGGCCCAUGCUCCCUCGUUUGUUCUUCUCCCGAAGCUUCUAGUGUCCCUUAUGUCCAAAAAAUCUCCAAAAUGUUUUGUGGCAUUUGGACUUCGUUUGGUACUGAUAUUCUGCGAAACCAAAAACAAGCAAAAAACAACAACUGGCACUGGGCACUAAGUUAAUAGGUUAGUCCCAAAAAAUAAUACAAAGUUGCUUGUAAAUGUAUAUAAAACACCCAAGAUUGAUACUUUAAUAGCAUGGAACAAUAAAAAAUUAUAGAUAUGUCGGGGACGUAUCAGUCCCAAAUUUUGCAGGCGGAGACAUGGCGAUCCUGAGUUUGCGCGUCGCCUAGCUAGCCUCCGUAUGCAUUUUGGUGACCACAUAUAUCGCAGCUCUGCUAGAGUUGCUCUUAUACUUUUCCUUCAAAACAUAUUUUUUUGAUUAAAGACACACCCAUGAAGUUUAUCGAGUAGUAACAAAACAUUUAGCUUUGUACUCAUGAUUUUCAUGUUCUUGCAGUACCGACAGAAACUAUGGACGAUAGCAACAUGGACUUGACAAUUGACGCCAUGUGGUUGUUCCUAGCUAUUUUUCUCAUCACUGCAAUAAUCAUUAAGGUUGCAAAUGCAAGAGUUACCUCCGAUCCAGGGUGUACACGAUCACCUCCACCUAUGCUCAAUAUAAUUGCUCUCCUAAAACUCUUACCUACCUUGUGUACAAAGGGCCCCGAAGUUACAAUGACCUAUCUAUAUAACAAGUUUGGUAGUGUGUUCACAAUAAGUUUUCUUUGGAAAAGAAUAAGCUUCUUGGUUGGGCCAGAGGUCUCUGGUCUUUUCUUUCAAGGUUCGGAGUCCGAGGUUUCCCAAGGUAAUACGUUUGAGUUCACUGUGCCCAUGUUUGGCCUGGAGAACGGAUUUGCCGUAGAUUACAGCACCCGAAUCCAGGAGAUUCACUUCUUCAUUGACGCUCUAAGGCCAUCGCAGCUGAGGAGCCAUGUUGACCCCAUGCUUCGUGAAGUGGAGGUAAGGAUAUAUUAGACAUCGUGCCUCCUCACAUUAUUGGAUUUCUGAACAUAAGUUGAAAUUAAUCCAUGCAGUACUAUCAAAUAACCAACCUUAGUAGUUAUAGCCAUUUCUAAAUAGAUGACUUGUUUUGCUUUGAAAUUUUGAAUGGGAGCAACUUUGACUCUGAUUUCGUUUUUGUUGCAGUCUGUUCUGUCCAAUGUCCUGUAGUUUGUUUAAUAUAACCAACAAAGUCAGUUUGUAUGCUAAAAAAAUAAUAAUUAAGGAACCUAAUUUGCUACUUCAUGUGAUUCUAUCCAUUUCUAAAUAGAUGAUGCUUCUCACUUUGCUAAGUCUCAAGAGAGCAACUUUGAGCCCAUAUGUUAUUGUGAAUAUGUAAGCAGAACUUGUAAGAAUAGGUAUGUGGUGUGACUUUUUAUGACAAAUUCGUCUACAGUCCAAUCCAAAAAUUCUAAUACUUUUUGCAAGUUUAAAAAACUGUUUGUUAGUAAAAAAACAAUGAACUUUGAUCGCUUUUUUUCUAGUAAACAAUCAAUGUAUUCUGGAAAAAGUGUUUAUAUUUCUUAUAGGUCUACAACUAUCAUGAAAUCUACACAAUUUAGAGCACUACAUACGUUCCAUAGAUAAAUCCAGUUGAUACUUCAUAUUGAGUAAAUAAAAUUUACUAUUUGUCGAAAAAGUGCUAUAGAUAAAACUAGUUUAGUCUCCAUGUUCAUCAAAUUUGGUUUAUAGAAGGGUACAAUACAUAAAUAAACAAACAGAUACAGUACUUUUUUUUCCACUUUGUCCUUAUAUGUCGGUGUACUUUACACAGAAAUUUGGAUGCUAUCGCAAAAUGAUAUGAAAAUAAAACAAUAAAAAUUAUCAGAAAAAUCAUUUCUUGUAACAAAACAACUAUCAAAACAAAGGUGAUACAGUAUUAAUAAUUAGAUACAUUGUUCCUUCCUUAGAUGUAUUUACUUAUUUCCCCUGAUAUUUGGUAGGGGCAGGGUUUAGAAUUUUGGUACCACAUAUUUUUAUAAAAUCCAGAUUUUACUUCAUAAUUAUUUCAUCUAAAGUUACUUUAAUUUACUAAAAAUUUGAAUUAGGUUUGAAUAUAGUAUAAAUUUAUGUGGCAACAAGUAUUUUGGUACCCAUGAAAUUACCAAAAUUUUGGAAACAUUGUUGAAACUUUGAAACAUGGAUACAGACAUGUUCCCAUAUGAAAUUAUUGUACUUGAAAGAAUAAUAUUAAUUUGACAAAAAUUGGUUUCCUUCGUAGUAGUGUUACAUGUAGUUCAUUAGCAUGAACACGAUUGCACAAUACGCUCAUUAUUCAAGCCUUCCCUAGAACGUUAUGGUAUUUCACGAUAUUAUAUGUGUAGACAAACUCGUGGUGCAUGCUAAUUUGCUAUAUAUGUUAAUUCAACUAGCCGGCGUUGUCAUAAUGUAUGGUAUAUAUUUUCCACAGGACUACUUUGCGAAAUGGGGAGAAGAGGGGGUAGUCGAUCUGAAAGAUGAGCUCAACCAGAUACUCAUGUUGAUCGCAAGUCAAUGCUUACUUGGAAAUGAGGUUAGAGAAAAGCUAUUUGGUGAGAUUUACACAUUGUUUAGUGGAAUCGAAGGGGGGGUGAACUUGGUGAGUUUCAUGCUCCCAUAUUUCCCUGUUCCGGCAAACCACCGACGAGACAAAGCACGAAUCAGACUUACAGAGAUUGUUUAUGAUAUUAUGAGGUCAAGAAAGACAUGCGGCCGUGUCGAGCAAGAUGUCCUCCAGAAAUUGAUGGACUCUAGGUAUAAAGACGGUCAUCGUACAACAGAAGCGGCGGUCGCCGGGAUGAUCAUCGCAUUGAUAUUUGCUGGAAAACACACAAGCUCAAUUGUAUCCACCUGGACAGGAGCUUGCCUAUUGACCCAUACAAAGUUUUUAGAUGUUGUUGUGGAAGAGCAAAGGGAAAUAAUGAGAAAAUAUAAGGACAAGAUAGACUAUAAUGUCUUGUCAAAGAUGGAGACAUUGCAUAGUUCUAUCAAAGAGGCAGGACGCAUGCAUCCAGCGACACUAGGUUUGAUUCGCCAAACACAAAAGAAUAUCACUGUGAGGACAAAAGAAGGAACUGAAUAUGGCAUCCCGAAAGGUGACACCUUAGUAAAUCUUGUAAUGCUAACCAGUAAGUUAUCACACAUUUACAAGGACCCUGAAGUGUAUGACCCAUACCGUUUUCGUCCUGGAAGAGAGGAGGAUAAAGUUGGUGGUAAAUUCUCAUACGCAAUAUUUGGCGGUGGAAGCCAUGUUUGUCCCGGGGAGGCCUAUGCUUUCUUGCAAAUUAAAAUUAUAUGGAGCCAUUUGCUGAGAAAUUUUGAACUCAAACUCACUUCUCCUUUUCCCAAGACAGAUUGGAGCAAGUUCAUGUUAGAGCCUAAAGGGAAAGUGCUGGUAAACUAUAAGAGACGUCAUCUGGAAAGCAACUGAGAUAUGCAUGCCAUAUGUCCAUCAACAUGUAUUUGCAUGGACGUACCUUUGCAUAUGUGUGGUAAUACAUGUUUGGUAGUUGUCUGUGGUUUCUAGGGCAUCAUAAGGUCACGUUAUUUGUAACUUGAGUAUUUAAUUACUUCUACUUCAUUAUCCAAACAUUUGACUUGUCGGCCCUGCUAUGUAAGAGACUAUAAUAAUAAGUGGCAUAUAUAUCUUUAUGUUUAGCUACACGCUGCACCCAGUUUAUUAUUCUAUUUAUGCAUGAUUUGAUGUGAUGCAAUGACACAAUUAGUGUAUCUAUUACAUACUAAAAGCACAAUAUGGGUCAAAAAUAAGAAAACAGGCUAGAAAUUCCCACAAAAUUUAGAAACAUCUAGCCUAAUAAGACAAAAAAUCACAACCUAUAUCCUAGAUGUACUGUUGUUAUACUCAAAGUUAGAACAACUUACCCAUCGUUGCCACCAUUAAAAUCACCUCCGCUUUGACCUAACAAAAGGAAAAAAAGUCCCAGUCCUUACGCUCUCCGGGUACUGUUACUAUACUCAGUGUGCAACAUCGACGACGGUGGCAAGGAGAAAGACACCAAGAUGGCCGCACCAUCAAGCUUCCACUGAGGAGACGAUAUGUUUCAGUCAUUCAGCGUGCUCGCCUGCCGCGAUACUUCACAGGCACAAUCGUUUAGGCCGCGGUGUAGGCGUGAGUGCUCGUUGCUCGACGAUCACGAAAUCUUCCUGUUGUGUCAGAUUAUUACCAGUGUGUGUGUGCGCGGUGGUGUAGUGUUCAUUGGUAACAUCAUGCCAUCAAUUCUCUCUGUUUUUAUCGCCUUCGGUUCACAUUAGCUGCAGUAUACAGUUUGAUUUCUUGUUCGAACUGGUAUGUCAACCACUAAAUGAUAACCGGUCAUGGGUUGCGCGCUUCUCUUCUGUGCGCUUUCCUGUUCGUAUUUCAGGUAAUGGAAACAUGAUUAUGAAAUGCAGAUGGAUAGUUCUGCGGUCUUUGAAUUUUCAGGCAGUCUGGAGUAGGCAUAUCCUGAGCAUGCUCGCUCUUGGGAUUCCAUGGCAUGCCGGCAAAUGUUAUCAUGCUACAACACAGAUAAUCUUACCUCAGAAAGAAAAAAUAAAUACAAACGAUGUGUGAUGGUUUCCAUUUUUCAUAACCGCUCUUUCCCUAGCUAUUUUUUUCUUAUUAUUUUUAGCAAAAGAGAGUCCUCCCUCUUUGAUGCACAGCUCUCACUUCUCUCUUCUAUGGUUUCUUUCAAGAACACACAUCAUGAAGAAAACACAUACACACACACACGCACGCACGCACAUACACCAAGGGAGAAGGCCAGCUGCUGCUUUGCCUAGAGGCGCCCCUCGGUGAAAACUAGAGGCUACAUAUUUUCUCCUGUCCUCACGGCGUCCUCUUUUCUCAUUCCAUAUACAGAGUAUAAAUACAUCAGCUAACACGCCAAGGCAAAACACCCUGGUUCACUUCCUACGCCCACGUCCAGGACGUGGCCAACUACUCUACCAACUAGAUGACCCGUUGCGCCAAUGGCGCAAAGGCCAAGUGUGAGCUAAUUAUUGUGAGAGCGUGCAUUAACAUAUUGUUGUUUGAAAAGAAUAGCUCAUAUACUAUAUGCAGUAAGUACAUAAGAUUGGAAAUGAUGCACUAAGUCAUGUAGGAAAGGACUCUUGUGAUCUGUUUAGAUUCGAUAGACAAUUAUGCAGAGGCCUUUGGAUGUGCACUUGAAGGCGAAAGCAUAUAUUUCUUUUAUCAUGGUUCUUUCAAAAGCACACCACACAGUAGUUUAAGUAGCAAAUAACCGAUAGCUAAAUGCACAGGAUGGUCUUAGGGGUUUACAUAUAAGAUCCAAAAGGACGAUAAACAUAGAAGUCUUGAUAGGCAUCUAUACUAAUACUAAGUUAUAUAACAAGAGGAUCUUGCAACUUGCUUAUAUUGGGUAGAUGAUCAAGCGCACUCCCUUGGAAGUGCAUUUGAAGGUGAAAGCAUAUGCUUACCCUUUGUUCAUGCUAGAUGACCCGUUGCAACGAUGUCGCAAAGGCCGAGAGCAAACCAAGUACUGAUAGAGUGAGUGAUCAUUAGUAUGUAGAUACCUAUUGUAGCGUAUGAAAUGAGUAGCUACUGCUGGCAGAUAGUUGCCUGGUAAUAAUAGAAAGUGUUCUAAGAAGCUUAUGAAUGAUUAUCUACAAUGAUAGUCAUAAAUACAUUAUAUAGGCGGUACAAAGUGAAGAACAUUAGAUAGAUCCAUCGUGACGUGCUUCGCUGGUAUUGAGAAUGACCCUCUUGUUGGGGAACGUUGCAGAAAAUAAAAAAAAUUCUACGCUUUCACCAAGAUCAAUCUAUGAGUUUAUCUAGUACCGAGAGAGAGGAGUGCAUCUACAUACCCUUGUAGAUCGCGAGCGGAAGCGUUCAAGAGAACGGGGUUGAGGGAGUCGUACUCUUCGUGAUCCAAAUCACCGAUGAUCCUAGUGCUGAACGGACAUCACCACUAGUAGAAAACAGGGCAUUUGUCCCGGUUCGUAAGGGCCUUUAGUCCCGGUUCAUGAACCGGGACUAAUGGGUCGUUACUAAUACCUCCACCCAUUAGUCCCGGUUCAAACACGAACCGGGACCAAUGUGCCUCCACGUGGCCCUGUGCGCCGAUCCCAGGCAGGGGGGCUUUGGUCCCGGUUGGUGGCUCCAACCGGGACCAAAAGGCAUCCACGCAUCAGCAUUUCAGUGGCUGGGGUUUUUGUUUUUUUUUGAAAGAAGGGGGGGGGGGUUGGGGGGUUAAUUUAGGUGUUUCAUAUAUUGUGUUAGCUAGCUAAUUAAUAGAGAGAAGUGUCCUCUCUUAUGUCCGUGCUUGGUCGACGCUACGUACUAUAUAUACAUAUGUGAUCGAGAGAACCAUUGAGUACAGAAGUUCGUCAUGCAUACCGAGAGAAGUGAUCGACCGACCUCUCCUUCUCCGAGAGAUUGGCCGAACAACAAGUUUUCGUAUAUCAUGUAUCCGACGCUACUGGCCACAUACAUGUACAAUAUGUAUAAGAUCUCUUAAUUACAAACCCCUAACAAUUGAAAUCAAUUUGCACAUGGUAUUCUCCGGCUUUAUUGAUGACGUGGUCAAGAAAGAAUCCCACCAAUUCCUCUUGAAUUGCUUUCAUGCAAUCUGGUUCUACGAGUUCAUUCCUCAUCUGCCACGUCUAAUUUGAAGAAGGGGGUUAAUUAAUACAUAUAUAUGAAUGAAACUCAACAGAAAUGAUGGUGUAAUAAAAUGAAAUUGUGAAUAUUAUUGCUUACGCACUUCAUAUUGUCUUUGAGAGUAGCCCCGCUGGUUUUUCAAAGUCGCGGUGUGGAUGAACUCGCACACGUAGUAUCCACAGAAAUCAUUCCCUUCUUCCUCCCACAAGCACUUUACGAGAAAUGGAGGUCAAUCAAACUGAUAAUGAAGCAUUAUAAAUGGCAUUGAUGAAAGUAUAGCUAUAGAAUCAACGGGAGAUGCGCGCAACUAGCUAGUCAGUAGUACUUACUUUCGGGUAUGUAUAUUGCAGCUCCUUCGGCAGUCCCGGAGCUUCUGCGGUGAACUGUUUCCAAACCCUGCAAGACAAAGAAAUAAUUAUUAUUACUUGAGAUAUCAGGAAAUGAACAAAAAAUUGCCGAUAUGGUGCGAUAAUGAUCGAUUGAACUUACUUGCUGAGCAUUUCAGUCAUGUCUGCAUAGGUUUUGGGAUCUUUCCGUCUCGAGUCUAAGACGGUUACUAGUCCACGCUCAAGCUUAAUCUCCAGAAGAAUAUAGUGGUACCUGCGCACGCAUGCAUAACUCAUUAAUUACAUUACUAUAACCUCGCUCGAGUAAUAAAGGAAACCGAAUAUGCACACGACAGUAACACUCACUUGCCGUUGUAAGGAAAGAGUAUGGUAUCUUUGUUUUGAUUUUUGAUCAACGAUCGUAGCAAGUUGUCCUCGGCCUCUUUGACGUCCUUUUUAACCAGAAAUUCAUCUAUGAUAUUUGUGUUAAUGAACCCAAUAUCAUAAAUUUCUUGUUUUUUGCACUCGACGAUCUUCAAUCUGCAUAAUAUAUUGAGGAUAAUUAAUUAUAAAUACAUGAAAUGAAAGAGCCGAGCUAUAUAUAGAGACUUAAUGACAGAAAUAGUACUUACAGACAGUAGCAAAAGACCAUUAGUUUAUCGAGGGCCUUUCAAUUGAAGAACGCGAAGAACUCAUCAAAUGGAACAGUCAACAGAUCAUUUGCAACGAGGUCAUGCUCCUCUUUAAUAUUCAGAUACAAAGCAUUCGUACCCCCAGACUCUCUGCAGGUUUCCAUGUACCAAUUAUGGAAUCUUCGCAUCAUUGUUGUCAGAGAUUUUUCAUCUUUGACGAGAGGCUUCCCGUACUCGUAUCUGUGUUCGUCCACCUCCAAGAAAUCAGGAAGUUGAUCGCCAGGCAGGUAAUCUGCAAGAUUUCCAUAACCGGCCACCGUCCCCGGAGCAUUAGACACAUUGAGCGGGGGCACGAUUGCUGUGCUUGUUCGCCGAGCUGGGCAAUUUUUUUCCCCUUUGCUCGUUCUUUUAACCUUUUAGCACUGACAGUAGUUCCCGACCGCUGGGCUUGGAGAUAUGUCUGUUCAGUAAUGCGCUCACAGUUGGUUCUCGGCGGAGACUUUGGUGGUUUCCUCAGGGCAUCGAUAGUGCACUUUGCUUUCACCGGAUCUACCUUCUCCUCCGGAGGUGGAUGUCUCUUUGCUUUCACCCUUCAAAGAACUCCUUCACGUGGGUCCGCACAAUCCUAUCAUUUUCCUCCUCGGUCCUCUUGUACGGUAACUUCUCUAGAGGCUUGAGAGGUGGACUGUAUCUGUAUUGCCUCCCGCCUCUGGUUGUGCUGCUAGACGCCGGAGCAGAUGGAGCGGCUGCGGCGUCUGUCUUCUUUCGCGCUUGCUUACAAGGCGGAGGAGAAGGAGUACGACGCGCCGGAGCAGCCGGGGCGGCGGCGGGUCUCUUCCGCCCUUGCUGGCGAGGCGGAGAAGGAGGAGGCUGCUGGCUGCUCGGGAGCGCCGGCACAGGCGGAGAAGGAGGCGGAGUGCCGUCACACGCCGGAGAAGGAGGCGGAGUGCCGCCACGCGUGCCCUGAUUGUCACUCGCUGGAGGAGGAGGCGGUGGAGGAGGCGGAGUGCCCUGACUCGCCGGAGGAGGAGGAGGAGGAGGAGGCGGAGUGCCCUGACUCGCCGGAGGAGGAGGAGGAGGAGGCGGAGGCGUCCAGUUCGGAAGGUUGAUGAGCUCCUUCCGCCAUAGGCAUGGAGUCUUCAGAGCAGAACCCAACCUAGUCUCCCUUUCACCGGUAGGGUGGUCAAGCACGAGGUCCUCAAAUCCCUCCGUUAUUUCAUCCACCAUCACCUUAGCAUAUCCUUCUGAAAUCGGCCGGCAGUGAUAAGUUGCUCCGGAUCCAGUAGGAUAAACAGAGCCAACAGUCGCCUUGACCUUCAAAUUCAUCCAUCACGCCAUAAUGUGGCAAUGUUGAGACUCCAUGAUAGCAUCCACGGGAUAGCUGGCAGGAGCCGUCAAAACAUGCUCCGGCUGAAGCAGCUCGGUGGAAGCCACGCUGCUUCUCCGCUGAGAUGGCGGGGUAGCUUCGGGGGAAGCUUCGGCAGGUCGUUUGCUGCGAUCUGCUGCUUCUCGUUCCUCUUCUCGUUCCUCUAGCCCCAUUACCCUUUCGUGCAGCGCCUGCAGUUGGCCCUGCUCCAGUUUCUUCCUCCUCUCGUGGGUUUUGUAACCCCCUGCAUCUGGAAAACCAACCUUCCACGGAAUGGAGCCUGGCGUGCCUCGUGUCCGUCCAGGGUGCUCAGGAUUCCCGAGGGCCAUUGUGAGCUCGUCCUUCUCCCUGUCUGGUACGAACGUCCCUUUCUGCGCUGCAUUGAUAUACUUCUGAAGGUUCUUGACUGGUAUUUCCAGUUGCUCGUCCGUCCAACGACACAUCCCUGAUACAGGGUCCAAGAUUCCACCAGCCCCGAAGAACCAAGUCCGGCAACGGUAUGACCAUCUCAUUGUCUCUGGUUCGAUCCCUUUUUCAAGCAGAUCAUUCUCAGCCUUGAACCACUUAGGCCGGGCUUUGAGGUAGCCACCUGACCCCGUGCGAUGGUGAAGCUUCUUCUUCGCAGCAUUUUGCUUGUUCGUCACCGACAUCUUCUUACUCUUUUCCGAUGUCUUGUGGGCCACAAAUGCGGGCCAGUGAUCUUUGAUCUUCUCAUAUUUGCCGAUGAAUUCUGGUGUCUUUUUUUUCCUGACAAAAUGGUUCAACUCUUUCCUCCACCUCCUGAAUAGGGUUGCCAUCUUCUUAAGAGCACAAGACUUGAUUAAUUGCUCUUUAACUAGCUUCUCUGGAUCCUCCUCUGGCGGUAGGGUGAAAUUUUCCUUCAACUGAGUCCAAAGAUCUUCUUUCUGCAUAUCAUUGACAUAAGACACCUCAGGGUCGUCCUUAGGCUUAUACCAUCGCUGGAUGCUGAUCGGGAUCUUAUCCCUAACAAGAACCCCGCACUGAGCAGAAAAUGCGUUCUUUGUCUGGAUGGGUUCAAUUGGUUCGCCGUCGGGCGCGAUUUCUAUGAUCUCAAACCUUUCAUCCGAGCUCAACUUUUUCUUCGGGCCUCGUCUCCUUACCGAAGUUGUGCUCGAUCCGGAGGGCUAGAAAUUAAAAGGAAGAAAGACGAGAGUAAUUAAUAUGUGUACAUAUACCAAAACAAUGAAUGCAUCAAUUAACUAGUCAGCACGUGCUUAACUAAUAUAUAUAUACCUGGCCGGACUCGGUUCGGUCACCGGAGCAGUCAGCACGGUCUCCUUCUUGUACCUCCAUUGGGUCAUCACCGGAGCCAUCAUGAACAUAGCCCUCUUCUUGUACCGGCAUUAAUGGGCCGGAUCCAUCAUGAACAUAGCCCUCUUCUUCACCAAGUCCUUCCUCACCAACGACGUCGAUGAAAAAUGACGCAACAACAUCAGUUCCUUCUGCGAUCAUCUUCCCCAACAUCGCUUCUGUUGCUUCGUCUCGGUAGUGCUCCAUAGUUUCUGCAAAUAUUUACAACAUGUCAAUUAUUAUUCAAACAUGGUACAGAUGGAUAUAUAUUAGUGGCAAACGUAGAACUAGCUAGCUAAUCACAACAAGGAAUCAUGUUAGUGGCCUCGAUGUUGCUUCUCUAGGGUUUGGGAUCGCCUCGACACAACGCUUCAAGAGUUUGGGGUGGCCUCGAUGACAACGCUCUUUUAACUUGGUAAAUUUGGGUGGCCUCGAGAGUUUUGGUCGAGCGAGAGGGCCGAGGGGGGUGCUGCCGUUGUAUAGGUUAUCACGGUUGAGAGGGGGUAUAUAUAUCGACCGACCCUCAUGUCGAAGUUAUCUCGAGGGGGCGGCGAGGGCGAAGGCAAGCAGCCUGACGGCGACAGACCCGAUAAAACAUAAAAAAACGAAGAAGAGAUAAAAAGAGGCGAAGAAGAAAGGAAUAGAGGAGAAGAUCGAAGAAAAAAAAGAAGAAAAAAAAGAGGAGAAGAAGAAAGGAAUAGAGGAGAAGAAGAAAAAAUAGAAUAAAUUCUAUUUUUUCUUCUUCUCCUCUAUUAUUCUAUUUUUUCUUCUUCUCCUCUAUUCCUUUCUUCUUCUCCUCUUCCUUUUCUUCUUUUUUGUUCUUCUUAUUUAUUUCUCCUCUAUUCCUUUCUUUCUUCUUCUCCUCUUCUUUUUCUUCUUCUCCCUCGAGAAAGGAAAAUAAUUAAGGAAAAGGAAGAAAAGAGGAAGAAGGAAGAGAAGGAAGAAGAAGAAGAAAGGAAUAAAGGACAAGAAGAAAAAAUAGAAUUUUUUUCUAUUUUUUCUUCUUCUCCUCUUAUUUUUCUUCUUUUUUCUUCUUCUUAUUUAUUUCUCCUCUUCUUUUCCUCUCCUCUUCUUCUCUUUUCUUCCUCUUCUUAUUUUCUUUUUUCCUCUCAUUCUUUUUCUGCUUCUUCUUCCUUCUUCCUUCUUCCUCUUUUCUUCCUUUUCCUUAUUUUACUUUUUCCUCUACACUAACCUACUUAAAAUGCACUAACCUAAAAUCGAUAUCGACUAACAACCUAAAUAAAAAAUUAAUACAUAUAUGAAAAAACAUAUAUAAACAAAAAAUGCUAUGAACAUUAUAUUCAUACAUACAUAUAGCCACAUCCAUUCAUCAUAUAGCUACCACAUACAUAUAUACAUUAAUUAUAUAUAUAAAAAAAUGCAAUGAACAAAAAAAAUACACAUGUAUGUAUGAAAAAAAGCACUGAACACAUAGCCUCGACGGCGGCGGCUCACAACGGGGGCGGCCGGCGAGGGCGACGGCGGCGGCAGCGAGGGCGUCGGCGACGACCACGNNNNNNNNNNNNNNNNNNNNNNNNNNNNNNNNNNNNNNNNNNNNNNNNNNNNNNNNNNNNNNNNNNNNNNNNNNNNNNNNNNNNNNNNNNNNNNNNNNNNNNNNNNNNNNNNNNNNNNNNNNNNNNNNNNNNNNNNNNNNNNNNNNNNNNNNNNNNNNNNNNNNNNNNNNNNNNNNNNNNNNNNNNNNNNNNNNNNNNNNNNNNNNNNNNNNNNNNNNNNNNNNNNNNNNNNNNNNNNNNNNNNNNNNNNNNNNNNNNNNNNNNNNNNNNNNNNNNNNNNNNNNNNNNNNNNNNNNNNNNNNNNNNNNNNNNNNNNNNNNNNNNNNNNNNNNNNNNNNNNNNNNNNNNNNNNNNNNNNNNNNNNNNNNNNNNNNNNNNNNNNNNNNNNNNNNNNNNNNNNNNNNNNNNNNNNNNNNNNNNNNNNNNNNNNNNNNNNNNNNNNNNNNNNNNNNNNNNNNNNNNNNNNNNNNNNNNNNNNNNNNNNNNNNNNNNNNNNNNNAGGCCGGCGGGCGGCGUCGGGGCAGCGCCUGGCGGCGACGGGGGCGCGCGGACGGCGUCGAUCUGGGAAGCCUGGCGGCGUCGAUGAGCUCGGCAUCGUCGGGCGGGCCGGGGGCAACUAGCGAUGUGUUCGUCAAAUUUUCCUAAGUGCUGUAUAUAUAGCAAGGGCAUUGGUCCCGGUUCGUGAUUCCAACCGGGACUAAUGCCCCCUUUAGUCCCAGUUGGUACCACCAACCGGGACCAAAGGCCUCUUUUCAGCAGCCCAACGGGCGGGAAGCGGCGACCUUUGGUCCCGGUUGGAGGCACCAACCGGGACUAAAGGGUGGGCAUUGGUACCGGUUGGUGCCACGAACCGGUACCAAAGGACCCUGUGCUGCCAGCGUCGGGGCCAAAGUUUAGUCCCACCUCGCUAGUUGAGAGGGGUGCGCAGUGGUUUAUAAGCCCCACUGCCGCACCCCUCUCGAGCUCCUCUCCACCGUAGGCUUGCGGGCCUAUUUGCUACUGCUUUGCCUGAUGGGCCUGCUGGGCCUACUGCGGGCCUGAAUCCUGGCCCAUGGUAGGGUUUAUAGUCGUAUUCAGGCCGUGGGGGCCUAGUAGGAGGCAAUUUUUUUUGUUUUCUUUCUUGCUUUAUUUAUUUUAUUUUGUUUCUACUUACAACAAAAUACUUAUUGUUGCUAUUUUUAAUUAUUUUCUAGUUUUUUUGUUUGGUUUUCUGCAUUAUUUAUUUUCUUUUGUUUUUUGCUGUAUUUUUUAAUUCUUUUUGCUUUUAGUUUUAUAAAAAUUAUAAACUUUCUGUUAGUGCCAUUAGUUUUCAAAUUUGAAAACAUUUUUUGUUUUUUGUUUUCUUUCUUGCUUUAUUUUUUUUAUUUUUUUUUCUACUUACAACAAAAUACUUAUUGUUGCUAUUUUUAAUUAUUACGAGGGCCGAACCAUAAGACAUUAAAGCAUUUCAAAUGAACUAUGAAAACGUUGAAAGUUAGCAUGGUAUCAUAAAUUCACCCACAUAGCAUGUACAUGUACAAAACGGACAAUGGUAUCAUACUCGUGUGUUACAAAGUUGGCAUGGUAUCAUCAUAAUAGUUGUGGGAGAAAGUCUUCACUUUUUCUUCGCUUGUGUCAUUUGCUUAUUGCGCCGUAACCAUGGAUAAUCUUCAUCACUUAUCAGGAUGCUGGGGUCAGCCUUGACUUUGAAGGGAGGAAUUUCAUGAAACUUUUCAUAAUCUUCAGAUAUGUCUGUCUUGCCCUCCACUCCCACGAUGUCCCUUUUUCCUGAAAGAACUAUGUGGCGCUUUGGCUUAUCGUAUGAUGUAUUCGCUUCCUUAUCUUUUCUUUUUCUCGGUCUGGUAGACACGUCCUUCACAUAGAUAACCUGUGCCACAUCAUUGGCUAGGACGAACGGUUCGUCCGUGUACCCAAGAUUUUUCAGAUCCACUGUUGUCAUUCCGUACUAUGGGUCUACCUGUACCCCGCCUCCUGACAGAUUGACCCAUUUGCACUUAAACAAAGGGACCUUAAAAUCAUGUCCGUAGUUAAGUUCCCAUAUGUCCACUAUGUAACCAUAAUAUGUGUCCUUUCCCCUCUCGGUUGUUGCAUCAAAGAGGACACCACUGUUUUGGUUGGUGCUCUUUUGAUCUUGGUCAAUCGUGUAAAAUGUAUUCCCAUUUAUCUCGUAUCCUUUCCAAAUCGUAACAGUCGAAGAUGGUCCCCUGGACAACAAGUACAGCUCAUCACAAACAGUGUUGUCACCUCUGAGACGUGCUUCCAACCAACUGCUGAAAGUCCUGAUGUGUUCACAUGUAAUCCAGUCGUCGCACUGCUCCGGGUGUUUGGAGCGCAGACUGUUCUUGUGGUCAUCGACAUACGGGGUCACCAAGGUAGAGUUCUGUAGAACUGUGUAGCGUGCUUGAGACCAAGAAUAUCCGUCCCUGCAUAUUAUUGAGUCCCUUCCAAGCGUGCCUUUUCCAGUCAGUCUCCCCUCAUACCGCGAUUGAGGGAGACCUAUCUUCUUAAGGCCAGGAAUGAAGUCAACACAAAACCCGAUGACAUCCUCUGUUUGAUGGCCCAUGGAGAUGCUUCCUUCUGGCCUAGCGCGGUUACGGACAUAUUUCUUUAGGACUCCCAUGAACCUCUCAAAGGAGUACAUAUUGUGUAGAAAUACGGGGCCCAGAAUGACAAUCUCGUCAACUAGAUGAAUUAGGACGUGCAUCAUGAUAUUGAAGAAGGAUGGUGGGAACACCAGCUCGAAACUGACAAGACAUUGCACCACAUCACUCCUUAGCCUUGGUAUGAUUUCUGGAUCGAUCACCUUUUGAGAGAUUGCAUUGAGGAAUGCACAUAGCUUCACAAUGGCUAAUCGGACGUUUUCCGGUAGAAGCCCCCUCAAUGCAACCGGAAGCAGUUGCGUCAUAAUCACGUGGCAGUCAUGAGACUUUAGGUUCUGAAACUUUUUCUCUGACAUAUUUAUUAUUCCUUUUAUAUUCGACGAGAAGCCAGUCGGGACCUUCAUACUAAGCAGGCACUCAAAGAAGAUUUCCUUCUCUUCUUUGGUAAGAGCAUAGCUGGCAGGACCUUCAUAUUGCUUUGGAGGCAUGCCGUCUUUUUCGUGCGAACAUUGCAGGUCCUCCCGUGCCUCAGCUGUAUCUUUUGUCUUCCCAUACACGCCCAAGAAGCCUAGCAGGUUCAUGCAAAGGUUCUUCGUCACGUGCAUCACGUCGAUCGAAGAGCGUACCUCUAGGUCUUUCCAGUAGGGUAGGUCCCAAAAUAUAGAUUUCUUCUUCCACAUGGGUGCGUGUCCCCCAGCGUCACUCGGAACAGCUAGUCCGCCGGGACCCUUUCCAAAGAUUACGUGUAAAUCAUUGACCAUAGCAAGUACGUGAUCACCGGUACGCAUGGCGGGCUUCCUCCGGUGAUCUGCCUCACCUUUGAAAUGCUUGCCUUUCUUUCGACAUUGAUGGUUGGUCGGAAGAAAUCGACGAUGGCCUAGGUACACAUUCUUCCUGCAGCUUCCCAGGUAUAUACUAUCGGUGUCAAGUAAACAGUGCGUGCAUGCGUGGUAUCCCUUGUUUGUCUGUCCUGAAAGGUUCCUGAGAGUGGGCCAAUCGUUGAUGGUCACGAACAACAACGCCUUUAGGUGAAAUUCCUCCUGUUUGUGCUCAUCCCACGUACGUACACCAUUUCCAUUCCACAGCUGUAAAAGUUCUUCAACUAAUGGCCUUAGGUACACAUCAAUGUCGCUGCCGGGUUGCUUAGGGCCUUGGAUGAGAACUGGCAUCAUAAUGAACUUCCGCUUCAUGCACAUCCAAGGAGGAAGGUUAUACAUACAUAGAGUCACGGGCCAGGUGCUGUGAUUGCUGCUCUGCUCCCCGAAAGGAUUAAUGCCAUCCGCACUUAAAGCAAACCAUACGUUCCUUGGGUCACUUGCAAACUCAUCCCAGUACUUUCUCUCGAUUUUCCUCCACUGUGACCUGUCAGCGGGUGCUCUUAACUUCCCGUAUUUCUUACGGUCCUCACUGUGCCAUCGCAUCAAAUUGGUAUGCUCUCCGUUUCUGAACAGACGUUUCAACCGUGGUAUUAUAGGAGCAUACCACAUCACCUUCGCAGGAACCCUCUUCCUGGGGGGCUCGCCGUCAACAUCACCAGGGUCAUCUCGUCUGAUCUUAUACCGUAAUGCACCGCAUACCGGGCAUGCGUUCAGAUCCUUGUACGCACCGCGAUAGAGGAUGCAGUCAUUAGGGCAUGCAUGUAUCUUCUGCACCUCCAAUCCCAGAGGGCAUACGACCUUCUUUGCUGCGUAUGUACUGUCGGGCAAUUCGUUAUCCUUUGGAAGCUUCUUCUUCAAUAUUUUCAGUAGCUUCUCAAAUCCUUUGUCAGGCACAGCAUUCUCUGCCUUCCACUGCAGCAAUUCCAGUACGGUACCGAGCUUUGUGUUGCCAUCUUCGCAAUUGGGGUACAUCCCUUUUUUGUGGUCCUCUAACAUGCGAUCGAACUUUAGCUUCUCCUUUUGACUUUCGCAUUGCGUCCUUGCAUCGACAAUGACCCGGCGGAGAUCAUCAUCAUCGGGCACAUCGUCUGGUUCCUCUUGAUCUUCAGCAGCUUCGCCUAUUGCGGCAUCAUUGUGCACAUCGUCUGGUUCCUCUUGAUCUUCGGUAGCAUCACCGUAUUCAGGGGGCACAUAGUUGUCAUCGUACUUUUCUUCUUCGCCGUCUUCCAUCAUAACCCCUAUUUCUCCGUGCCUCAUCCAAACAUUAUAGUGUGGCAUGAAACCCUUGUAAAGCAGGUGGGUGUGAAGGAUUUUCCAGUCAGAGUAAGACUUCGUAUUCCCACAUAUAGGGCAUGGACAACACAUAAAACCAUUCUGCUUGUUUGCCUCAGCCACUUCAAGAAAUUCAUGCACGCCCUUAAUGUACUCGGAGGUGUGUCUUGAAUCGUACAUCCAUUGCCGGUUCAUCUGUGUGCAUUAUAUAUAAUUAAGUGUGUCAAGAAUCAUUACAGAACAUCAUGAAUAGAUAAUUAAGUGACCAAAUUAAUAGAAGUUCAUUAUCACAUUAAAACCAAAGUACAUACAUAGUUCUCAUCUAACAACAUAAAUCUCUGCAGAGCAUCUAAAUUAAUUAAACCAUACAUUGAAACUAUCUAAAACAUUUCAAUGCGAAAACAAAUGCGAUCAUAAUCGCAACCAAUGUAACAACUGAUCCAACGGCAUAAUGAUACCAAGCCUCGGUAUGAAUGGCAUAUUUUCUAAUCUUUCUAAUCUUCAAGCGCAUUGCAUCCAUCUUGAUCUUGUGAUCAUCCACGACAUCCGCAACAUGCAACUCCAAUAUCAUCUUCUCCUCCUCAAUUUUUCUAAUUUUUUCCUUCAAGAAAUUGUUUUCUUCUUCAACUAAAUUUAACCUCUUGACAAUAGGGUCGGUUGGAAUUUCCGGUUCAACAACCUCCUAGAUAAAUAAAAUCCAUGUCACGUUGGUCGGCAUAAUUGUCAUAAACAAUAGAUGAACCAAUAGUUAUGAAAAGAUAAUAUAUACCACAUCCGAAUCAUAGACAGGACGAGGGCCGACGGGGGCGGAUACCAAAACCAUCACACUAUAUAAGAUGCAAUAAUAAAAGUAUGAAAAUUAUACAAGUAUCUAUAUAUAUAAACAUACAAGUAAGAUUUUUUUCCUUUCAGAAAGAAGAUCAGAACAAGAGGCUCACCACAGUGGUGCCGGCGACGAGAUCGGCGCGGGCGAUCGACGGCGGUGAAGACGGGGACGGGACGUGACGGACCGCUAAACCUAGAAAAAUAUUGAGGAAAAUGGAGCUUGGAGAUCGAGCUUCGAGAGGAGAAAGCUUAAGUAGUGUGGCUCGGGCAUUCCAUCGAACACCUCGUGUGCAUAGGAGGUGAGCUAGAGCACCACAAAGCUCUCUCCUCGCCGGCCAAUAAAAACAGAGCACUGAGAGUACUCUGCUCGUGGGCGUAUAUAUAGUCAAUUAAUUGGUCCCAGUUCGUGGCUUGAACCGGGACUAAAGGGAAGCCUUUGGUCCCGGUUCAGGCCACCAACAGGGACCAAUGGUGGUGGGCCAGGACCAAGGCACAUUGGUCCCGGUUCGACCCACCAACCGGGACCAAAAGGUCCAGACGAACCAGGAUCAAUGGCCCACGUGGCCUGGCCGGCCCCCGGGGCUCACAAACCGGGUCUAGUGCCCCCAUUGGUCCCUGUUCUGGAUUGAACCGAGACUAAUGGGCUGACCCGGCCUGGACCAAUACCCCCUUUUCUACUAGUGCACCUCCGCGUUCAACACACGUACGGUUGGGGAAGACGUCUCCUCCUUAUUGAUCCAGCAAGGGGGAAGAAGAGGUUGAUGAAGAUCUAGCAGCACGACGGCGUGGUGGUGGAUGCAGCAGCGAUCUCGGCAGGGCUUCGCCAAGCUUCUACGAGAGGGAGAGGUGGUGCGUGGGGAGAGGGAGGCGCCAGAGACUUGGGUGCGGCUGCCCUCCCACCCCCCACUAUAUAUAGGCCCCCCUGGGGGGGGGCUCCGGCCCUAGGAGAUGGGAUCUCCAAGGGGGGCGGCAGCCAAGGGGUUGGCUUGCCCCGCAAGGCAAGUGGAGGCGCCCCCCAUCCCUCGGGUUUCCAACCCUAGGAGUAGGGGAGGCCAAGGGGGGGCGCACCAGCCCACCAGGGGCUGGUUCCCCUCCCACUUCAGCCCAUGGGGUCCUCCGGGAUAGGUGGCCCCACCCGGUGGACCCCCGGGACCCUUCCGGUGGUCCCGGUACAAUACCGGUAACCCCCAAAACUUUCCCGAUGGCCAAAACUUGACUUCCUAUAUAUAAUUCUUUACCUCCGGACCAUUCCGGAACUCCUCAUGACGUCCGGGAUCUCAUCCGGGACUCCGAACAACUUUCGGGUUAGUGCAUACUUAUAUCUCUACAACCCUAGCGUCACCGAACCUUAAGUGUGUAGACCCUACGGGUUCGGGAGACAUGCAGACAUGACCGAGACGCCUCUCCGGCCAAUAACCAAUAGCGGGAUCUAGAUACCCAUGUUGGCUCCCACAUGCUCCUCGAUGAACCACGAUGUCGAGGAUUCAAGCAACCCCGUAUACAAUUCCCUUUGUCAAUCGGUACAUUACUUGCCCGAGAUUCGAUCAUCGGUAUCCCAAUGCCUCGUUUAAUCUCGUUACCGGCAAGUCACUUUACUCGUACCGUAAUGCAUGAUCCCGUGACCAGACACUUGGUCACAUUGAGCUCAUUAUGAUGAUGCAUUACCGAGUGGGCCCAGAGAUACCUCUCCGUCAUAGGGAGUGACAAAUCCCAGUCUCGAUUCGUGCCAACCCAACAAACACUUUCGGAGAUACCAGUAGUGUACCUUUAUAGUCACCCAGUUACGUUGUGACGUUUCGCACACCCAAAGAACUCCUACGGUAUCCGGGAGUUGCACAAUCUCAUGGUCUAAGGAAAUGAUACUUGACAUUUGGAAAAGCUCUAGCUAAACGAACUACACGAUCUUUGAGCUAUGCUUAGGAUUGGGUCUUGUCCAUCACAUCAUUCUCCUAAUGAUGUGAUCCCGUUAUCAAUGACAUCCAAUGUCCAUAGUCAGGAAACCAUGACUAUCUAUUGAUCAACGAGCUAGUCAACUAGAGGCUUACUAGGGACAUGUUGUGGUCUAUGUAUUCACACGUGUAUUACGAUUUCCGGAUAACACAAUUAUAGCAUGAAUAACAGACAAUUAUCAUGAACAAAGAAAUAUAAUAAUAACCAUUUUAUUAUUGCCUCUAGGGCAUAUUUCCAACAGUCUCCCACUUGCACUAGAGUCAAUCAUCUAGUUACAUUAUGAUGAAUCGAACACCCAUAGAGUUCUGGUGUUGAUCAUGUUUUUCCCUAGGGAGAGGUUUAGUCAACGGAUCUGCUACAUUCAGGUCCGUAUGUACUUUAUAGAUAUCUAUGUCUCCAUCUUGAACAUUUUCACGAAUGGAGUUGAAGCGACGCUUGAUGUGCCUGGUCUUCUUGUGAAACCCGGGCUCCUUGGCAAGUGCAAUAGCUCCAGUGUUGUCACAGAAGAGUGCGAUCGGCCCCGACGCAUUGGGUAGGACUCCUAGGUCGGUGAUGAACUCCUUCACCCAGAUUGCUUCAUGCGCUGCCUCCGAGGCUGCCAUGUACUCUGCUUCACAUGUAGAUCCCGCCACGACGCUUUGCUUGCAACUGCACCAACUUACUGCCCCACCAUUCAAAAUAUACACGUAUCCGGUUUGUGACUUAGAGUCAUCCAGAUCUGUGUCGAAGCUAGCGUCAACGUAACCCUUUACGAAGAGCUCUUUGUCACCUCCAUAAACGAGAAACGUAUCCUUAGUCCUUUUCAGGUACUUUAGGAUGUUCUUGACCGCUGUCCAGUGUUCCAUGCCGGGAUUACUUUGGUACCUUCCUACCAAACUUACAGCAAGGUUUACAUCAGGUCAGGUACACAGCAUGGCAUACAUAAUAGACCCUAUAGCUGAGGCAUAGGGGAUGACACUCAUCUUUUCUCUAUCUUCUGCCGUGGUCGGGCAUUGAGCUGAGCUCAAUUUCACACCUUGCAACACAUGCAAGAACCUCUUCUUAGACUGAUCCGUAUUGAACUUCUUCAAUAUCUUAUCAAGGUAUGUGCUUUGUGAAAGACCUAUGAGGCAUUUCAAUCUAUCCCUAUAGAUCUUGAUGCCUAGUAUAUAAGCAGCUUCUCCAAGGUCCUUCAUUGAAAAACACUUAUUCAAGUAGGCCUUAAUGCUGUCCAAAAGUUCUAUACCAUUUCCCAUCAAAAGUAUGUCAUCUACAUAUAAUAUGAGAAAUGCUACAGAGCUCCCACUCACUUUCUUGUAAACGCAGGCUUCUCCAUAAGUCUGCAUAAACCCAAACACUUUGAUCAUCUCAUCAAAGCAAAUGUUCCAACUCCGAGAUGCUUGCACCAGCCCAUAAAUGGAUCGCUGGAGCUUGCAUACCUUGUUAGCAUUCUCGGUAUCGACAAAACCUUCCGGCUGCAUCAUAUAUAGUUCUUCCUUAAGAUGGCCGUUAAGGAAUGCCGUUUUGACGUCCAUUUGCCAUAUCUCAUAAUCAUAGUAUGCGAUAAUUGCUAACAUGAUUUGGACGGACUUCAGCUUCGCUACGGGAGAGAAAGUGUCAUCGUAGUCAACCCCUUGAACAUGCCGAUAACCCUUAGCGACAAGUUGAGCUUUAUAGAUGGUAACAUUACCAUCCGCGUCCGUUUUGUUCUUAAAGAUCCAUUUAUUUUCUAUCACUCACCGAUCAUCGGGCAAGUCUGUCAAAGUCCAUACUUUGUUUUCAUACAUGGAUUCUAUCUCGGAUUGCAUGGCUUUAAGCCAUUUGUUGGAAUCUGGGCCCGCCAUCGCUUCUUCAUAGUUCAAAGGUUCACCGUUGUCUAACAACAUGAUUUCCAGGACAGGGUUGCCAUACCACUCUGGUGUGGAACGUGUCCUUGUGGACCUACGAAGUUCAGUAGUAACUUGAUCUGAAGUACCUUGAUCAUCAUCAUUAACUUCCUAUUCAGUUGGUGCUGGCACCACAGGAACAUCUUCCUGAGCUGCGCUACUUACCGGUUCAAGAGGUAGUACUUCAUCAAGUUCUACUUUCCUCCCACUUACUUCUCUCGAGAGAAACUCUUUCUCCAGAAAGGACCCAUUCUUGGCAACAAAGAUCUUGCCUUUGGAUCUGAGGUAGAAGGUAUACCCAAUGGUUUCCUUAGGGUAUCCUAUGAAGACGCAUUUUUCCGACUUGGGUUCGAGCUUUUCAGGUUGGAGUUUCUUGACAUAAGCAUCGCAUCCCCAAACUUUUAGAAACGACAACUUAGGUUUCUUCCCAAACCAUAAUUCAUAUAGUGUUGUCUCAACGGAUUUAGACGGUGCCCUAUUUAAAGUGAAUGUAGCUGUCUCUAGAGCGUAUCCCCAAAAAUAUAGCGUAAAUUGGUAAGAGACAUCAUAGAUCGCACCAUAUCCAAUAAAGUGCGAUUAUGACCUUCGGACACACCGUUACGCUGAGGUGUUCCAGGCGGCAUGAGUUGUGAAACGAUUCCACAUUUCCUUAAGUGCGUACCAAAUUCAUGACUUAAGUAUUCUCCUCCAUGAUCUGAUCGCAAGAACUUUAUCUUUCGGUCACGUUGAUUCUCUACCUCAUUCUGAAAUUCCUUGAACUUUUCAAAGGUCUCAGACUUGUGUUUCAUCAAGUAGACAUACCCAUAUCUACUCAAGUCGUCAGUGAGAGUGAGAACAUAACGAUAUCCUCCACGAGCCUCAACGCUCAUUGGACCGCACACAUCAGUAUGUAUGAUUUCCAAUAAGUUGGUUGCUCGCUCCAUUGUUCCGGAGAACGGAGUCUUGGUCAUUUUGCCUGUGAGGCAUGGUUUGCAUGUGUCAAAUGAUUCAUAAUCGAGAGACUCCAAAAGUCCAUCAGCAUGGAGCUUCUUCAUGCGCUUGACACCAAUGUGACCAAGGCGGCAGUGCCACAAGUAUGUGGGACUAUCGUUAUCAACUUUACAUCUUUUGGUAUUCACACUAUGAAUAUGUGUAACAUCACGUUCGAGAUUCAUUAAGAAUAAACCAUUGACCAUCGGGGCAUGACCAUAAAACAUAUCUCUCAUAUAAAUAGAACAACCAUUAUUCUCGGAUUUAAAUGCGUAGCCAUCUCGUAUUAAAUGAGAUCUAGAUACAAUGUUCUUGCUCAAACUUGGCACUAAAUAACAAUUAUUGAGGGUUAAAACUAAUCCCGUAGGUAAAUGUAGAGGUAGCGUGCCGACGGCGAUCACAUCGACCUUGGAACCAUUCCCGACGCGCAUCGUCACCUCGUCCUUCGUCAGUCUCCGCUUAUUCCGCAGCUCCUGCUUUGAGUUACAAAUAUGAGCAACCGCACCGAUAUCAAAUACCCAGGAGCUACUACGAGUACUGGUAAGGUACACAUCAAUUACAUGUAUAUCACAUAUACCUUUGGUGUUGCCGGCCUUCUUGUCCGCUAAGUACUUGGGGCAGUUUCGCUUCCAGUGACCACUUCCCUUGCAAUAAAAGCACUCAGUCUCAGGCUUGGGUCCAUUCUUUGACUUCUUCCCGGUAACUGGCUUACCGGGCACGGCAACUCCCUUGCGGUCUUUCUUGAAGUUCUUCUUACCCUUGCCUCUCUUGAACUUAGUGGUUUUAUUCACCAUCAACACUUGAUGUUCCUUUUUGAUCUCUACCUCCGCUGAUUUCAGCAUUGAAUAUACCUCAGGAAUGGUCUUUUCCAUCCUCUGCAUAUUGAAGUUCAUCACAAAGCUUUUGUAGCUUGGUGGAAGCGACUGGAGGAUUCUGUCAAUAACCGCGUCAUCCGGGAGAUUAACUCCCAGCUAAGUCAAGCGGUUGUGCAACCCAGACAUUUUGAGUAUGUGCUCACUGAUAGAACUAUUUUCCUCCAUCUUACAACUGAAGAACUUGUCGGAGACUUCAUAUCUCUCGACCCGGGCAUGAGCUUGGAAAACCAUUUUCAGCUCUUCGAACAUCUCACAUGCUCCGUGUUGCUCAAAACACUUUUGGAGCCCCGGUUCUAAGCUGUAAAGCAUGCCGCACUGAACGAGGGAGUAAUCAUCAGCACGAGACUGCCAAGCGUUCAUAACGUCUUGGUUCUCUGGGAUGGGUGCUUCACCUAGCGGUGCUUCUAGGACAUAAUCUUUCUUGGCAGCUAUGAGGAUGAUCCUCAGGUUCCGGACCCAGUCCGUAUAGUUGCUGCCAUCAUCUUUCAGCUUGGUUUUCUCUAGGAACGCGUUGAAGUUGAGGGUAACGUGGGCCAUUUGAUCUAUAAGACAUAUUGUAAAGAUCUUAGACUAAGUUCAUGAUAAUUAAGUUCAUCUAAUCAAAUUAUUCAAUGAACUCCCACUCAGAUUAUACAUCCCUCUAGUCAUCUAAGUGAUACAUGAUCCGAGUCGACUAGGCCCUGUCCGAUCAUCACGUGAGACGGACUAGUCAUCAUCGGUGAACAUCUCCAUGUUGAUCGUAUCUUCCAUACGACUCAUGUUUGACCUUUCGGUCUCUUGUGUUCCGAGGCCAUGUCUGUACAUGCUAGGCUCGUCAAGUUAACCUAAGUGUUUAUGCAUGUGUAAAUCUGUCUUACACCCGUUGUAUGUGAACAUUAGAAUCUAUCACACCCGAUCAUCACGUGGUGCUUCAAAACAACCAACUUUCGCAAUGGUGCACAGUUAGGGGGAACACUUUCUUGAAAUUAUUAUGAGGGAUCAUCUUAUUUACUACCAUCGUUCUAAGUAAACAAGAUGCAAAAACAUGAUAAACAUCACAUGCAAUCAAAUAGUGACAUGAUAUGCCCAAUAUCAUAUAGCUCCUUUGAUCUCCAUCUUCGGGGCUCCAUGAUCAUCUUCGUCACCGGCAUGACACCAUGAUCUCCAUCAUCAUGAUCUCCAUCAUCAUGAUCUCCAUCAUCGUGUAUCCAUGAAGUUGCUUGCCAACUAUUACUUCUACUACUAUGGCUAACGGUUUAGAAAUAAAGUAAAGUAAUUACACGGCGUUUAAUCAUUGACACACAGGUCAUACAAUAAUUAAGACAACUCCUAUGGCUCCUGCCGGUUGUCAUACUCAUCGACAUGCAAGUCGUGAUUCCUAUUACAAGAACAUGAUCUCAUACAUCACAUAUAUAUCAUUCAUCACAACUUUUGGCCAUAUCACAUCACAAGGCAUAAGCUGCAGAAACAAGUUAGACAUCCUCUAAUUGUUGUUGCAUGUUUUACGUGGCUGCAAUAGGGUUCUAGCAAGAAUGUUUUCUUACCUACGUAAAAGCCACAACGUGAUUUGCCAACUUCUAUUUACCCUUCAUAAGGACCCUUUUCAUCGAAUCCGCUCCAACUAAAGUGGGAGAGACAGACACCCGCUAGCCACCUUAUGCAACUAGUGCAUGUCAGUCGGUGGAACCUGUCUCACGUAAGCGUAUGUGUAAGGUCGGUCCGGGCCGCUUCAUCCCACGAUGCCGCUGAAGCAAAAUAAGACUAGUAGUGGCAAGAAAGUUGACAACAUCUACGCCCACAAAAAAUUGUGUUCUACUCGUGCAAAGAGAACUACGCAUAAACCUGGCUCUGAUACCAUUGUUGGGGAACGUCGCAGAAAAUAAAAAUUUGUCUAUGCUUUCACCAAGAUCAAUCUAUGAGUUCAUCUAGCAACGAUAGAUAGGAGUGCAUCUACGUACCCUUGUAGAUCGCGAGCGGAAGCGUUCAAGAGAACGGAGUUGAGGGAGUCGUACUCGUUGUGAUCCAAAUCACCGAUGAUCCUAGUGCUGAAUGGACAGCACCUCCGCGUUCAACACACGUACGGUUGGGGAAGAUGUCUCCUCCUUCUUGAUCCAGCAAGGGGGAAGGAGAGGUUGAUGAAGAUCCAGCAGCACAACGGCGUGGUGGUGGAUGCAGCAGCGAUCUCGGCAGGGCUUCGCCAAGCUUCUAAGAGAGGGAGAGGUGGUGCGUGGGGAGAGGGAGGCGCCAGAGACUUGGGUGCGGCGGUACUCCCUCCCCCACUAUAUAUAGGGCCCCCUGGGGGGCGCCGGCCCUAGGAGAUGGGAUCUCCAAGGGGGGGGGGCGGUCAAGGGGUUGGCUUGCCCCACAAGGCAAGUGGAGGCGCCCCCCACCCCUAGGGUUUCCAACCCUAGGCACAGGGGGGGCCCAAGGGGGGCGCACCAGCCCACUAGGGGCUGGUUCCCCUCCCACUUCAGCCCAUGGGGCCCUCCGGGAUAGGUGGCCCCACCCGGUGGACCCCCCGGACCCUUCCGGUGGUCCCGAUACAAUACCGAUAACCCCUCAAAACUUUCUCGAUGGCCGAAACUUGACUUCCUAUAUAUAAUUCUUUACCUCCGGACCAUUCCGGAACUCCUUGUGACGUCCGGGAUCUCAUCCGGGACUCCGAACAACUUUUGGGUUACUGCAUACUUAUAUCUCUACAACCCUAGCGUCACCGAACCUUAAGUGUGUAGACCCUACGGGUUCGGAAGACAUGUAGGCAUGACCAAGACGCCUCUCCGGCCAAUAACCAACAUCGGGAUCUGGAUACCCAUGUUGGCUCCCACAUGCUCCUCGAUGAUCUCAUCGGAUGAACCACGAUGUCGAGGAUUCAAGCAACCCCAUAUACAAUUCCCUUUGUCAAUCGGUACGUUACUUGCCCAAGAUUCAAUCUCGUUACCGGCAAGUCACUUUACUCGUACCGUAAUUCAUGAUCCCGUGACCAGACACUUGGUCACAUUGAGCUCAUUAUGAUGAUUCAUUACCGAGUGGGCCUAGAGAUACCUCUCCGUCAUACGGAGUGACAAAUCCCAGUCUCGAUUCGUGCCAACCCAACAGACACUUUCGGAGAUACCCGUAGUGUACCUUUAUAGUCACCCAGUUACGUUGUGACGUUUGGCACACCCAAAGCACUACUACGGUAUCCGGGAGUUGCACAAUCUCAUGGUCUAAGGAAAUGAUACUUGACAUUUGGAAAAGCUCUAGCUAAACGAACUACACGAUCUUUGAGCUAUGCUUAGGAUUGGGUCUUGUCCAUCACAUCAUUCUCCUAAUGAUGUGAUCCCGUUAUCAAUGACAUCCAAUGUCCAUAGUCAGGAAACCAUGACUAUCUGUUAAUCAACGAGCUAGUCAACUAGAGGCUUACUAGGGACAUGUUGUGGUCUAUGUAUUCACACGUGUAUUACGAUUUCCGGAUAACACAAUUAUAGCAUGAAUAACAGACAAUUAUCAUGAACAAAAAAAUAUAAUAAUAACCAUUUUAUUAUUGCCUCUAGGGCAUAUUUCCAACACCUCUUGCCUCGGCAACUCUUUACGGUGGUUGUGAUUGGUGGUUGGUAUUGCCCAAAGCCGAAAUACCUUCGGUGUCGUCGGCUAGCUAGGCUCCAACAGUACUUGUUUAUUUGAUGGAGAUCAUACUCUGAUUGUGUAGUUGUAUCACUAAGACGGUCAACAACAUAUCUUAUGUGUGACAAAAUAUGAUUUAGACUGUUGUCUUUUGAUGUUGACCCGGCUGUGAAGUUGGCAUUUAUUAUGCCAUAAAGUUCGUUUGCUGCCAUGUGAUCUCCACUGAGGCUGCUACUCCAGCUAUUGCUAAAAUAGUCUAUUAUUCCUUGUUCUUUUUGCUUAUGCUUAAGAGACUUGCAUUUUUCCUGAGCCAUUUGUAGUUUGUUAUAGUUUAUGUCUUGCAGAACUUUGCUGUAAGAGCCUUCCACGCACUUGAGAGCUUCAGCUGCUAGUUGAUCUAGAGCUUCUUCAACUUUGCCAUACACAUGGAUGGAUAUUGAAUUUCUUGGAAGUAUAUCGUUCAGCUGGUGCUUACACCCAUAGAAGUGAAUUGUUGCAUCAAGACCAGCUGGCUUUCCCUUCUUUGUUGAGUAUACUGCGCUUGGGAGGCCAAGUUGCUGCAGCAUAGCGUCUAGAAGCACCUUUGUUGGAAUCUUGACCUUUUCCAUUUUGGCUGCUUAAUGACAAGGAAGAAUAUAUUGUUAGCAAGUGAAGUUUAUCAAUUUGUAUUAAUUAGUAGAAAGACAUAAGGAUCACAGUAACCAAAUGAUAUGUGCUGUGUAUCCAUCUAUAAAAUGAGGCCCUCACUUUCUGCACUGGAAGCCUUCUACUGGCCUAUUUUAAUGUAGACGAUUUUUUUUGUAUUUAUAAAGCCUACUUCUGUACAGUGCAAGUAAGCAGUUAUAUGGGGCCUUGUUUAUGGUAAAUAGAAAAGUAGCUUCCAUUAAUAAAUUUGUUUUUUUGUAUGGUAUAAAAAAGGCAAAUAUUAACAGUAUUUUAGUAUAUGCAUUUGUUGCAAAUAUUUGGCACAAAUCUCUCUCUCUCUUUCUCUCUGUGUGUGUGUGUUUAUGAAGGUUAUCCGCACAAUUGAAAGAGUGAUGAUAGAAAAAUUCAGACACAAAUCAAAAUAUGCUUAGUAAUAAUACAUAAUGUUUUAACAAGCUUGCGAUUGAUUAUUUACAAUGUUAUUAGCAAGAAAAGUAGAUAGCCAGACAAAUAUCAUAUCGGCGCAUUGAAGUGAUGAACAUUAAUUCAGCUAUUGCUGCACGUGUCAUCAUCAUUGAAAAUGACCUUGUUGUCCAGCAUAGCCACUAUAUGGGCCUACAUCCAUUGCAAUUCUGUCCUAAUCUAUCUGUUGUAGUUCUGUCCUAAUCUUCUUCCACGUGGUUGACUGCUAGUCUUUUUUUUACAAACUCAAGCGCCCCAAGGAGGGUCUCCCUGCUUUCAUUAAAAUCAGAAACCAAAAGGCUGACAGUUUGAGUAACAUCACAGACCUCAAAGAUAAAGAAAACUACAAUCAUGCCCUCAAGAUACACGUGCUGAGAGACCACAACACACGUCAAUUGUUGCUUCACGAGCUGCCACCAUGUAGCACAAUGCCUACCAUGUGUCUCGCAUGACUGCUGGUCUUGAUUCCAUCCACCAGUCUUCGUCCCAUUCCUCUCCCCCUAUACUCGUACUGAAGUGAUGUGAGGAAGAAGCUGGAGGAGGCGGACGAGGGCACCUUGGGUUCCAUCAUAGCGACGGCUCACACUGCAACUUGGCGGUGGAGCAGCUCCCGCUGCAGCUCAGAGGCGCUGCGGCUCCAUCUGCAUCUCGGUGGCCCAGCAGCUCGGAGUUGCAGCAGCUCCAACUGCAUCCCGACGGCCCAGCAGCUCCCGUUGUAGCUCAGAGCCACAAAAUCGGUAGAUGGCGCCGCCGUUUCUCGUAUGGGUGAGCCAAAUCUGCGCAGUUGCCACUGUCACUCCCCGCCGUAGGUGGCGUCUGUUCCGGCUGUGCUGGCACUCCCUGAAGAUGGUGACUUUCCAUGACAAAGGAGGCUCCAGCAAGACGAUACGGCUGCUGUUUCCACUUAGGUAAAAACUAACCUCCUUAGGUGUUUGAUGUCUAUAGUUUUUUUUUGUGAGCUCAUUAGUUCGAUCUCCACCAGUAGUAGUUACCUCGCUGCUGGAAAAUUGAACGUUAAUUCACCCCUGCAACCUUAGCUUCUAGAAGCCAUUGUCAAGGGCGGGUGCAUGGUCCUGGAUAAUAUUUAACUGAUCUAUGACAAAAGAAAAGAAAUCAAAAUCGAAUACACAUCAGCAUAAGCUUUAAUUUAUCAAGAAAAUGCAUUUAUAUAAUUUGUAAUUAGCUCAGAUUAUAGUAUAAACAAAAAUAAAUUACAACAUGUUCAAAUGAAUUAUGAGGGCUCAAGACCUCGAACAAGAUGUGAAAACCCAAAGUCAGAUAAAUUCUAACUGCACUCGUACUUAUAACUACUUCCUCUGUCAGAAAAUAAGUGUCGUUGAGUGCUAAAUUUGACACUUAUCGCAUGCAUUUGUAUGUUCACUAAAUCAAAGAGAAAAUAAAGCAGGAAGUACAUAAAGUCCGGGCUGGUCAAGUCUACAUUGACAACCGCUACGUGGGAGGAAUUAGAGUUUGUUGCUAGUUAGUAUGUACAAUACAGUCUAUUCUUGCUAACAACAUUUGCUAUUACUCUUAAAUCACACAUCAUGUUUCUAUUUUCUAAAUUAGUAUAGUGACCUCGAUAUAGCAGAAAACAAACACACGUGUAGCUAGCUUAAUUACCUCACAAAGCUAUUACCAAGGAAGUAGCAAAAUCUUGAGCUCCUUCUGGUUCUUAAUCUGUUUCCACUUGAGGAAUCCCUCUCUACCUCCCAAUCUUCACUGAUGCCUGCAAAAAGUAUGCACAUGGGACUGCAUUAAGAUAGCCAAAUUAACAAAUAGUCCAACAAAAUCAUUCACUAUAACCAAGAAUAGUUACCUUCCUAAACCACAACUAUAGGAUGGCAGAGACGCCAAAAUAGCUCAAAUAAUGCAGCCACUGGCUGAUUUCCAGGCAUUAUUCUGACACAUACUUGCACUUUCUAAAGCACCUACAGUAAUAAGUUAGAAAACCAAUUUUGGCCUUCAUCACACAAGUACCGAGAAGACACUUCCUGCUCACUGAUGAGUGACCUUACUUAAGUACCGAAAAAUCAAAACAAAAUGUUGAUUUCAAGAGGGGAAGCAGACACAAGUAACUUUACAUAUUGCUGUCAUUUAAGAUCUAUACUGGAAGAUGUUGUAUGAGUAACUAUAUACAAUUCAUAAAUAAACCUGCGACAACAUGCACACAAAAUCAGAAAGAAUUAGAAACGUUUCGUGCUUUGUAGAAAUCUUUAUAAUUGAAAACUAAAUAUAUAAAAAUCAUUGCAACUCAUCUUUGUUUUGUACAACACUCUGUAACAUGCAACCAAGAAACUCAAAUUUUGUUCAACUUUCAUACCCUCAAAAUGCAUGGCUAAUAGGGUUUGAAUGUACAUAGGUCAUUAUGCAGUAGAGAAAAAUAUAACCAGCCAAAGUGAUAAGUCAGUCUCUAUGUGUAAAGGUUGGAGGCUAUAUUCUGAUAAGUGAGAAUCCAUCAAAGCAAAAGCAAUCCAAGAUUAUCUUUCCUAAAAAUGUAGAUGAAUGAAAUAAUGCUUCGCAUUUAGUAUGCCAUUCUUAUUUCUUUCUGGACAUUUAACAAGGAAAUUCACAUAAAUUAGAAGAUUACUUAAAAUCAUCUUUAUUACCCGUGAUCGUGAGCUUGUGAACGAAGUUAAUCUGUGUCGUUGUCCCUUCCUGAGAUUACCCCGGCAGUCACCUCAUUAUUGACCUAUAUGCCAUCUGACAGCAUCAAAUACCUCCUUCCAUGGCAGAGGAUAUAUUCUGCACCACUGCCACUGCAAAGGAAACAUGAAUGAACUAAAUGAGCAUGUAAAGACUAUAAGAAUAAUAUACAUAUGCUGACACCUUGAACAGAUAGUACAAAAUUACCCAUGUCCUGCACACAACACACAUCAUCCACCUUAUCGCAAAUAUCAAAACAAAUUUGUGAAAAAUCAAAUACACAAAUUCCACUCAAAGAUAAUCAUAUGCAAUCGUGAUAUGUUAACCAUUUGAUGAAAUGCAUCAAUCACAUAUUAGAACCAACAUUGAGACCCAGCCUACUGAUAGAGGCCACUAUUUAUAACCAUUUUAAUGGGCAUUAGCUUUAACCUAAGGGCCUGACACGUUUAUGCAUUGAGAAAUUGUAAAAUAUACAUUGUGAAAACUAAUUAUAUUCAUUCAUUGGCCAUGCAACCAUGUGAAUUAGAACCUUACGAGAUAGAGUAUCUACAUGAAAAACAGAUACAACAUAAGAAGAUAAGACAAAAUAAUGUUAUGUAUCAACCCGCAACCAAAAAUAUGUCAGCAAUAUGAGGAAAAUCAUCUAUAAAAAAGUGUUAUCUUAACCAUUAAUUCAUAAUAUAACCUCACCAUAAAAUAUGUCGGCAAUAUCAGUAUACUGUGUUGAAUAAAAGUUGUACAACUCAUUCCAUUGAGCUGUGGGUCCGGCCGUCCGGGAAUAAGCAUGAGCAAAAAUAUUUAAACACUUCAUCUGACAUUGGAUCACUGUAGGUGGUCAAGAAAUUAACAUGUGUUUCCUGCCUGAAGAAAGAAAAAUAGGCAGAAAGUCUGCACACUAUCUUGACUGAUUGAUAUGAUUAUUAUAAAGAAAGAUCAUGAACUGCAACUCUUCCCAAAAUAUAUAACGCAAAUGCAUCAUUUCAACUGCAGCAUGGGAUAAUUUGGAACAGUUUCACUGUCUAAAAUGAACUGUUUAAUAGAGGAAAAUUAUGCCUAAACUAAACUUGCUGACAACCUCGCCAGGCGCUCAUAAAAGUAUCACUCAAAUUUGCCGCAGAACACACAAAAUAUCUUGUUGGGAGACGAUGCUACUCUCUAUUCCAGUUAGCUAUAUAAAUGAUACAUUUUACUUUUUUGCACUUCGUCGAGCAGGUAAAAUCUGUAACAAAAGAAAUGUUCACACAAAUGAAACACUGAAAUUACCUCUGCAGAUAAAUAUAACCAAGUCAACAAGCAGUAGGUACAUCAGAUCAGUCUUGCAUGCCGUCAACUAAAUGGAAGACAACCAGAAUAUACCGGUUCUGCACUGAACAUUGGCUAUUUCUGUCAAAGGUGUUGCUAGCCCUCUUUUGUGUGAGGCAAAACUUGAGAAAUCAGCAACCCAUGAACAAAUCGUAGGCUACCAAUCACAUGAUCAGCAGCUGAAACAACAAGAAAUUAAGCAAUUAGUUAACUAAAAUUAAGAACAAUAGACUUCACCACUACUAGAAAAAGGCCUACUAAUGGCGCACCGGUUUUGCCUACUAAUGGCGCUCACGCCACUAGUAUUUUUUACUAAUGGCGCACCACUGGUGCGCCAUUAGUAUCUGGUAUACUAAUGGCACACCAUGUAGUGCGCCAUUAGUAUAGCCCACGGUGCGCCAUUAGUAUCUGGUAUACUAAUGGCGCACCACAUAGAAGUGCGCCAUUAGUAACAUUUUUUUUAAAAAAAAUUCAGAAUUUUUUUUUUAAAAAAAUUUCAAUUUUUUUAAAUUUUUUUUAAUCUCAGUUCACUAUGGCUUAAUCUCAGAUCAAAUCGCACUCCAUGGUCAAACUUCUCGAAAGGUCACCCAUCCUCACACUACUCCAGCCCAAGCACGCUUAAAUUCAGAGUUCUAUCCAACCCCAGCAACAGCUCACUUCACAGGCACUUGUUGAUAUAUCUAGCAUAUCAAUCCUGUUAUAUCUUGUUGAUGUCUAGGACUUUGUUCAUGUUCAUGACUAUGAUGAAAUUUUGAAAAAUAUUUCAAACUUCCCGGUCAUAUUACGUAUCAUUUUUUGAAAAAAAAUUCAAAACCAUUUUUUUUCUGUUACUAGUGGCGCACCACAUCCACGGUGCGCCACUAGUAAGUUUGAAAUUUUUUGAAUUUCUUUGCCGCUAGAUCUUGAAAGCCCCGUAACUUUUUUUCUGUUAGGUUUUUGGGGAUUUUGAAAAUGUUUAACGGGGUUCCCCCCUUAAAUUUGGAUGUAACUUUCCGAGUAGAUGAUUUUUCAUAUAAAAAACUUUUUCAUCCGAUUUCGUAUGCAAAAGUUAUGCCCAUUUUACAAAUUUCCUGAGAGAUUUUGCAAAUAAAGUCAAAAUUCAUAUUUGUAAUUUUUCCAAAAACUAGAGCACAUAUCACAUGGGAAACAUAUUUUCUUUUAUUUUUUGACAUUUCCAUCAUUUUCUUUUAUUUUUUUUAAAACUGAAAAGGCGAUCCACGGGGGUGCAUUCGGUGUUGGGGCAAGUUAGUAAUGGUGCACGGUGCGGUGGUGCGCCAUUACUAAUGGCGCACCACACCCAUGGUGCGCCAUUACUAGUUUGAAAAAAAAAAUAAAAAAAUUGAUAUUUUUUUUGAAAAAAACUUAGUAAUGGUGCACCAGUGGAAAGUGCGCCAUUACUAGUUAAAACUAGUAAUGGCGCACCGAGACAUGGUGCGCCAUUAGUAACAAUUUUUUUUUAUUUUACUUUUUUUUCAAAACUACUAAUGGCGCACGACGGAUGUGGUGCGCCAUUACUAUGUCAAUUAGUAAUGGCGCACUAUGCAACGGUGCGCCAUUAGGAACAAUGUUUUUUUAUGUUUUUCUUCAAAACUACUAAUGGCGCACCACACACCAGGUGCGCCAUUAGUAAUAUAUUACUAAUGGCGCACCGAGACAUGGUGCGCCAUUAGAAUAUAGUAAUGACGCACCACAUCACAGGUGCGCCAUUAGUGGCCAUUCCAUCUAUAGCCCUUUUUCUAGUAGUGCACAUAUGAAUCUGAAAGGCAAUGAACGGGGGAGACAUUUUUCUCUCUACAAAUUCUUCUAGCAACAAAGAAUUUGUGCAUAGAAAUAGGUGUCUUCCUUUAGUUGAGCUUUUCAGUUUGAGAAAUUACCUCGAAAAUCCUAGAAUAGUUGAGAUUUUCAGAUGUGGGCCUCUUCAUGCCUUCUCCACUACUGCCUGUUGCCACUUGUGCUGGUCAGACCUAAACUGUGAUACAAAAAAUAACACGGAUUAACAGAGCAAGCUCCAAAACUCUACAGCAGGAAACCUAUCCGAAUCUCGCUGCAAUGCAAAAUGAGUUUGCGCAUUAGUAUGAAGUGACUCUAGUAACUAUAUUGUCUAUUCAAAUCUUAUUAGCAUUGCCUGUUAUACCAAACCAAAGUUUCAGAUUUCAAAAGUACCUGCAUUAACUGAAAACCAUGUACACCGAGCCCGUCCUGUUUAGACUCCUUUGCAUGUGUUUCAUAAAAUUAUCUGAAUCUCACUGCAAUGCAAAAUAAGUUUGCGCAUUAGUAUGAAGUGACUCUAGUAACUAUAUUGUCAAUUCAAAUCUUAUUAGCAUUGCCUGUCAUACCAAACCAAAGUUUCAGAUUUCAAAAGUAUCUGCAUCAAAACCUGAGCACAAUCACCCCUUAGCCCGAUUCUUCCAAAACCUGAGCAUAAUCACACACAAAAUGCGGAAAAUUUAGUCCGACCAUAAGUAAUAUCCAUUCAUUUUGGUUAUUUGCAUCAAAUUGGGAAUCAAUCAAUGUAUCAAAAAGCGAAACCUGAUGAAGCAUCAGGGAAAUUAGCAGACCAUCCUGCACGACCUGAAUUAUUACACCACCCACAUCAAUCAAAUUAGUGUAACAGCAUGAAUUACUAUUUGAAAAGAAUAAAUCAUGAAAGAAGUGGACAAGAAACCAUGAAAAGGUACCAACAGAGAUGGAGAACAAGGGGCGAGAGUAUGGGCCGCAUGUCAUCCAAGAAAAUCUCUACAAUGGUGGGAUGACGUCGAUGACAAAGAAAUAACAUGUGGCUCAAUUCCUUCCUCUUAUCCUCUCACUCCAGCCCCCUCUUUUCCAUCCCUCUCUUUCAAACACACAUGAUGUCCUCCCCAGAGCAGUCCUCCUUGAGCAUUUAUACAAACAGCUGGUGGUCGCAUCUGCAGCCUCAAAAACAGAUCACAAUUUUAGAAAUUAUUAUGUGCAUAGCUGCAGCCACCUCUGCACAAUAAUAAUUCUUGCAAUGCAAUGCAAUCAAAUCAAGAGAGAGGGAGAGAGAGAUAGAAAUUAGAGAGGGGUUUGCAGAUUCACCCGCACACUUGAGGCAGCGAGGACGCAAGUGAAUAGAGCACCUGCGCGUUGGGGAAGAGGGGGUGGGCGUCGACGGACAAGCGGAUGGCACGAAGCUCGUGGAUCCUCCGUACAUAUGUGCCUAUUCCGGCCGCGAGGGCGCGCGAGGAGAGGAAGAUGGCGUUCAACGGAAGGCUUCCCUCCUCACCUGUGUGGCCGCAAACCACCUCUUUCUCACUCAGUUCGAGCCCAUGCUCUGCUAUGGCGGCUGCGCCCGAUCCAGAAGAGAGGAGGAGCUAGCCGGUGGCGGCGCGAUGUGGGAGGCCGUGGGAAAGAGGGAGGAGGCGCCGCCGGAUGGGGAAGAAGGAGGAGGCGAGGGAGGACGUCAUCCCUUUGACUGCUUGAUCUAGGUUUUUUCACGGGCGUCUUCAUUGGUCACCGACCGAGUCGACGAGCACUUCGCUGCCGCAUGGACCAACGAUUUUAUGGGCCCAGUGGCAGUCACCUAGUAAAUCAGUCAAAGAUGUAACAAAAGAUAGCAGUGAACAGUAAAAAUCAAGGGUGAAAAACGAUCGAGCGAGUUGAUCGAACGGCCGAACAUUGCGCGCGCGCGAAGGCCUGCAGAUGGGCGGGUACCCUAGCAGGCUUUAUAUGUUCAAUGCGGACUGCAUGCAACCUCCAUCACCUAAUGUUAUGCACGUACUGAUCGACUUGAAUGAAUCACCCAUCCAUAUCCCAACUAACUCAUGCAUCCACGACUUUUUUUUGAGGGGUAAUAGCCAAUUUAUUCAUCAAAGACCACAGUUUGUGGGAUACAUCUUAGGUUGUGGGUUGGCCAAACCAAACGUGGCGCCCCGAACCUAGCGAAAGUGCGAACUUGGCUAAACUAUGUGCUUCAACAUUGACAACACGACUCUCGAAAAUAAAGUUAGACUGAAACUGCACUGACUUAAGAUUAAUCUCCCUAACUAUUGCUCCGCAACUACCAUUGCUACCAUUAAGAAUAUCUGAGACAACUUGCUUUGAAUCACAUGAAAUGAUAACAUCAUGGACGUUGAGAUCUUCAGCUAGGGACAAGCCCUCCCUGCAUGCUAUGGCUUCAAGGGCUGCAGGGUCAUCAACCCCGUCGAGAACAAGAGCCGCACUGCCCAAAAAUUGUCCAGAACUAUCCCGGCAGACUGUAGCUGCCGAACCACCUCUUCCCUUCAGCACAGCGGCGUCAACAUGGAUUUUGACAAAACCGGAAGGUGGUGCCUUUGGUCGCUGCUUUAUAUUGGCUGCUGGUGCUUGCACUUGGCCGGAUGAAGGGCACCUUUAUGAUCUCUAGCUCCCCUAUGAACCUGUUAAUGAAGGAGAAAGUUGCCUGGGGGGAUUGGAAAAUGCCCUCGUGAAUGGCCUUGCGGCGGGCCGACCAUAUUGCCCAUAAGGUGACCGAUAGCAGGACAAACUUGUCAUGUGUCAUUGAAUCCAUCAUGGUGAACAACCACUGUUUGGCACUAGGUUCAGAAUUAGAGACCAGAUUCUGAGCCAUAUCCUCAUCAACCAAGGCCCAAGUGCAUCUCGACGUGGUGCAGCUGAUCAACGAAUGUCUCCACGAGUCAGUCACCCCACAAAAACCACAUCCCGAUGAGUCAGCCAUGUGCCUCUGCAAUCUGAUAUCUUCAGUUGGUAACGAGUGCUUGGAUAGCCUCCAAAGGAACAUCCUAACUUUAGCCGAAACCUGUGUUUUCCAUAGUUUCUUCCAGGAGCUAGAUUCUGUAGCUAAAAUUGAUGUCCCCGGAGUCCCUUCCAUCCAUGCUUCUCUCCUUUGUUUUAUUGCCACCAGCAGGUUGUACGCCGUCUUAACAGAAAAUAGACCAUCCUUUCCUGGAUGGGUCGCGUACACAGUGGGAUCCCCAUGAUAACUCGCGCGUCCAUUGGCAAGAACACCUCCUCCACCCGGUCUUUCUUCCAUAUUGUGGUGGUAUGAUCAAUAAGCUCGGAGACUAGGGUUGGAGGGUCAGUAACAUGGCAUCCAUAUGGCCUCAUAUUCUCCUCUUUGGGGAGCCAUGAGUCAUUCCAUAUAUCAGUAGAUGCACCAUUGCCUAUCUGCUUGAUCAAGCCUAAUUUGAGUGUAUCCCUUCCUUCAAUAAUCGCUCUCCAUAUUUGGCUAGGGUGUCCUCCCAAGUUAGCUUGCAACAUUGAGGAAUCAGGGUAGUAAAUGCUCUUAAGAAGACGAGCACUUAAAGUCUCCGGGUUUUGUAACAGGCGCCAUACUUGCCUAGCCAACAUUGCAAGAUUGAAGAGCUCAAAGUCCUUAAAACCAAGACCACCCAUCCACUUGGGUUGCGUCAUUGUCUUCCAGGAAACCCAAUGAGGCUUUCGUCUCCCGUCUUUGCUUCCUCACCAGAAUUUCCUGAUGAGCAUAUUCAAGUGUUUGCACAACCCUCUUGGCAAUUUAAAGCAAGACAUGGAGAAGACUGGAACUGCCUGAGCCACAGAUUUCACUAAAACCUCCUUCUCUGCUGUUGAUAAGGUGCUUUCCAGCCAUCCCUGAACUUUGCUCCAUAAACGAUCCUUGAGGUAUUUGAAGGCACCGUUUUUUGACCCACCAAUAUCAGAUGGCAUACCAAGGUACUUCUCAUUCAGUGUUUCAUUUGGGACAUUUAGCACACCUUUUAUUUCCAGUCUAAUACUCUCUAGAACCCCCUUGCUGAAAAAUAUAGAAGAUUUUGAGAAGUUAAUCAUUUGCCUUGAUGCUUGGCAAUAGCUAUCCAGUACGAGGUUCACCUCUGUAGCUCCAUCAUUGUUAGCCUGGAAAAAUAGCAGGCUGUCAUCAGCGAAUAAAAGAUGGUUUAUCGGUGGCGCCGAUGGUGCCACUUGUAGACCAUGCAUGUUUGAUGACUCUCCUUUUGAUUUAAGUAGGCACGAAAGGCUCUCUGCUGCUAACAAGAACAAAUAUGGAGAUAUUGGGUCCCCUUGUCUGAUUCCACGAGAUGGUUGGAAUUCAUCCAGUUUUCUUCCAUUGAACAUCACUGAAAACUUCACUCUAGUAACAAGAUUAAUAACUAUAUUUACCAAUCUUUCAAUGAAGCCCAGUUUUAGCAUGAUAGCUCUAAGAUAAGGCCACUCAAUCCUGUCAUAGGCCUUCAUCAUACCCAAUUUUAACGCACAUGACCGGUGUUUCUUUGCUCUAUCGCGCUUCAUGAAAUGUAAGCACUCGUAUGCCGUGAUGUUGUUGUUAGUGAUCAACCUGCCUGGCACGAAAGCGGUCUGCUCUUCCGAUAUUAUCUCGGGUAAUACCACCUUCAGUCUAUCUCUACUACUAUAAAAUUCUCAGUUGGUGGUGAUGGUGUGCCUGCCAUCCAUCAGUUUAGACCAUCAGAUCUUCAUCCAACGUACAUGAGGCAACCCACUUCAGCCGGGUGAUUCUCUCCUCCCCCUGCUACAGUAUAAAGGUGAAAAGGAAGCGACCGGGAGGCGACUUCAGUUCUUCCGCCGACGAUCUCGUCGCUCCUCUUCGCCUCCGAUGGCCGUCUGACCUCGUGAGGCGUGGGGGGAGCUCCAGCACUCCGCCUGCGUGUAGAUACGGGUUGGUUGGGCAGCGCUCGGAUGGUGGCGGCGCGUCGCGUCCAAUAAAGCGGUCCUGGCUCCUACCCCAUCUCGCCGGCGAUGGCGAGGAGCCUAUGGGCCUGUGUGGUCUGGCGGUUCUGCUGAGGCGACAGUUACACCAUCGACUCUGGUAUUUUGCCCUGUCCCCGCCUCGAUGGUUCACGCGCUAGAGCUGCCGACGGGGUGUGUGAGUAGUUGUACAGGUGAUGUGGCGGUGAUGGCCGCCUAAGAUUUGGUUUGCGGCGACUUACAGAGGCGGCUGUUCUGGUGACCAGUUUGUAGCUAGCUGGACAGAGGAUCUGGUAGCCCUUCUCGCCGGAGGAGAUCCAGAGGCGGUGGAGCGCAGGGUGUGUCCUCCCCGAUCGAUGGCCUUCAUCAGUUUGGUGCCUCCGUUCAUGUUGACUUCUGUUCCAUAUCACAACCCAGAUUCUUGCCAGGCGCUUCUCCUGCUCACAAAUGGAUUCGUCCACGGUCAUCUCGGUGGCGGCGGCCAGAGGCGUGCGGGCUCUCUUUGGGGCCUUCAGGGAUGUGGUUCUAUUCUUCUUUGUUUGGAGGUCCUUUCUUCAAGUUUUCAGCUGGUUCUGGUGUCUUCGCGUGACGGCGUGAGUGUGUACGUGUUUAUUUUUCACUUUUGAGGGGAAAAUGUCAGCGCACGCCAUGAGCAAGCCAACAAUAACAAAUAUUGAGAGGAGGAAUCCGGCUGCUGGAUGCGCCAUGCAUGUGCUGUUGUAAACUUGUAAUGCGUUGAGAGGAUUCACCAUUGUCUUGCGUGGAGCAGGUUCUAGAGCUAAGGCGAAAGACACAACUUUUGGGACUGGGUCGUGUGCCUGGACUGCAUGUAUUGUAGGUUGUGUUAUAUGCUUUAAGGUACUUGUGUUUUUUAAUCAUGAAAGUGGUUUAGAAUGUUACAACAUCAAUUUUUCGGAUGCGUGAUUUACCAUUGGCAUUACAUUUUUUCCAUGGAUGGCAUGGUGCAUCAUAUAAUGCUCAUACCUCAUAGACAAGCAUAGAUGAUCAGAUGACUCGACAUGAGCAGGUGGAGGAAUGAGAUAAUGUGCUAACAUGUUGAGCCCAUCGACUUGAGCCGAAGGAUAGUAGUCACCGUACUUCCAUUGCGCAUAUUUGCGGGGACCACUAUUGAUAUUUCUGCAUUGUUGUUCUUCCAUUAUUGAUACUAAAGUUAGGUACGCAGUAUAACUGAGAUGCUUAAUGUGUCCCCUUUUCUAGCGGAGAAUGGUGCAGACUGCAGGUGAAGCCCGUGCUAAGAAAAGAGGAGCCGAAGAGAUAGAUUGAUUUGGACUCGGAAAUAAAGUUGGCCGAGUAUAAUCAUAAUCACCAAAUGAGUGUGGAUGGAUUUCUAUUUGCCUCAUGCUCUCUACCACUCAAUAUUAGGAUAAAGUAAGCGUUGAGAAACCCGAGUAGGAAGAAUACCAAGUCUUCUUGCAAGGUGAAAAUGAAGGAGAAAAUAUUUGUCUUGGACCAAGGGGUUAUCGAUUGGAAACCGUAUAUCGGUUGUGGGCCUAUUAACAAUAUAAGGUCACUUUGAUAAAUGUCAAGUAAAGUAAAAAAAAUUGUUCCGUGGCGACGCACGGGUAUCUUAAUUAUAACUUAAUAAGUAAACAAAUGUUCUAUUGAUCAUUUCUUACCCCGUAGCGUAGCACGGGCAUCUUACUAGUUAGAUAUAACUUUUGAAGCAAUUUUGUAGAGCACAUUGCAUAGACUGAUUGGUCGAAAUUGUGAAAGCAGUGUGGGAUUUUUUACCUUUGGGAUCAACACCAACACAGUUUCAUUAAUGCAAGCCGCUGAUUCCAUACCAUCAACAAUUUUUAGGACUGCAUUGGUAACCUCAUUGCCGCAAAUCUCCCAAUGCCUCUAGAAAAUAUGUGCAAGGUACCCAUCAGGUCCCGGCGUCUUUGUUGGGAACAUUUGGAAGAGAGCCGUCUUCACCUCUUGUUGAGUAUAUGGAGCAUUUAAGUUGUCAUUCAUCAACUGCGAAACCUUCUUGGGCACCGUGUCAAGGACCUGUUCAAUAUUGUUAACCCCUUCCGAUGUCUACAACUGCUUAUAAAAGGAAGUGGUUAACGACUCCAUCUCCAGUGUAUCGUCUGUCAUCUGACCAUCCGAACGUUUCAACACUUUUAUUUGAUUUUUCCGCCGACGUCUGCUGGCCCGUAGGUGAAAAAAAAUACGUAUUUUUAUCUCCAUGGAUUAGCCACUCCACUCUUGCUCGCUGACGCCAAAAGAUUUCCUCGCGUUGAUAAAGCUCAACCAGACGGUCUGAAACCUUGAUUUCCUCGUGCGACGGGCCUGCCCUCCCUUGGGAUGUACGCAUAAUAUCAAGCUCUCUUCUUUAGUCUGCAAAUCUCCUGCUUGACGUUGCCGAAAUGCACCCGAUCCCAGGUGGAAAGGUCACCUGACAGCAACUGCAGCUUAUCCCGAACAGUGGCAACGGAAUCUCCCGGUGUGCGUGUCCAUGCAGAGCCAAUCACUGCCGCUAGGGACUCGUCUCUCUCCCAUGCAACUUCAUAUUUAAAAGGCCACAUGCCCCUCUUGCAUGCAUGCUUGUCCGUGAAGUUUAACAUGAUAGGUAUAUGAUAACUAGCUGCAAGUUUGUGCUCAAGUGUAGCGGCUGGGAAAGCAAGCAUCCAUUCUGGGUUAGCAACACAACGAUCCAGUCUGACUUCUAAACGUACCGUCUGCAACUUUUUUCUCCCAAGUCCAGUCUAAUCCCCUGUAGCCUAUAUCUGAGAGUCCACAUGUGUCCAGCGCAUUGCGAAAAGCAUCCAUCUGUGCUUGACUCCGUUGUCCCACGUCGUCGUGUUCGUUAGCAUGGAGCACCUCGUUAAAAUCUCCUAUCACAGCCCAAGGUAAAUUGCUGGUUCCAACAAUGCCUCUUAACAUAUUCCAAGUCUUGUAUCUUUCGUUUACCUGUGCCUCUCCAUAGAUAAAGGUUAUUCUCACCUGCACUUCUACCAUAUCAGCAACAUUGACAUCAAUGUGAUACUCAGAGUAACCAAUAACUUCGAGUUUUAUUUCAUCAUUUAAGAAAUACUCAAACCACCACUUCUACCAUUACUGCUUACAGCAAAGCUUUUAUUGUACCCUAAAGUUCCUGCCAUAUUUUCUACUCUAGAGCCCUCUAUUUGAGUUUCAAGGAGACAAACGACAGAGGGGGCAAGUUGCUUCGAGAGGUCUUGAAGCAAACUAGGGUACGAACUAGGGUACUCAUUGCGCUAGGUGCACGCCCCACUUGGAGGCCCGCCACACGCGCAUCGAAGUCUUGUUCCCAUUGCUUUCCUUUCCUCCAUUCUUGUUAGCAUUUGCUGGUGUAGGUUUAUUCCUUUUUUGCUCCUGUUUUGGGGGAGGGCUUUGAGGUACUGUGGUCUGGUUUGGUUUACCACCCACAGUGAGUAGUGGUGUUUUCCCUGUGAGGGUCACCGACUGGUCCGUGACCUGAGCAACACUACUCUUCCUGUUAUCCACAUCCAACAUCACAGAAUCCUUGUCAUACCCAUCUUCUGUACCAAUAGGAUCAUCCUACGACUGUCCAUGACCUAGUCCAUGACCCGCUCUCCCCCUUCCUCUGUUGUCUCCUUGUGCCCUUCCGGCUCCAGGGCCCCGACCUGGCCCUCUGAACGAGUCUGCUUUCAGUCCUUUAAAAACCAUUGCCGAUGGGGGGUGAACCCCGUCGCCGCAUUCUUUGUGAAGAUGCCCCAAAUUUCCACAGACCGAACACCAAUCAGCCAACCGCUCAUACUUGACACAAAAGAUUUUCCUUUUCUUCUUGAUGAUCAGCGAAACGGCAUUCUUCAGGGGUUUGGUGAUGUCAACCUUUACCCUAACUCUGAAAAAAUUCCCUUCAAAGUCAAAACUUUUCUGCUCUGCAUAUAUGAAGUCGCCAACUGUACUCGCCAAAGCCUUGAUCAUUGGGUAAAGCAGGUCAGGCAAGUCGUGGAUCUAGAUCCACAUCUCGAUCUUGUUCAGUUGGAUCAUCGACGGCCUAGUGAUGCCAUCAUAGGGUUCAAUGACCGCUGCCUUUCCUUUGAACGCCCAAGGGCCUUCCUCCAUCACCUGUUCCCAGUCGCCUAAGCAUGAGAAUUGCAGAGUGUAAAUGUUUUCAUUGAGCGGCCUGAUCUUGACUUCUUGCGCCAGGUCCCACGCCACACGCAUGUUUCUAUAGAACCAGUACUGGCUGUAAGGUUUGUUCAUAUGAACCCUAGCCACCGCUAGCCAUCUGGCGCCAUUCUCUGGAAGAUCACUAUCCUCCACAACUAUGUCAUUCAGGUCUGCCUCAUUGAGACCAAGUUCCUUCAUCAUCUUCCCCAACUCGCUCGCACUGGAGCGCGCAGCUUCAGCCGAACUACCCAUCAGAUCUCUAGUUCAUGAAAAACUGUGUUGCGCGGACGGGAAAGCCCUAGCGAACCCCCCCCCCCUCCCCCGGCCUACCACCGCGACGGGAGCACAAAGCUCCGGUCAGACAGCGGCGGAAGGAGGGAAGGGGAGCGAAGUCUCCACGUCGAGCCGAAGGCGCCGUCGGGAGGAAGCGAAACCCUAACGAGAGGGGAGAACACGAAACACGAAGGCAUCCACGGCUACGUCAACAAACUGAGCCACGGUUCACUCGGCCCAAACGGGCUUUGCUAGGUCCACGUAAAGUUACGUGAACGUUUACGGCAAAUCCGGCAAAUCCUAUUCGGCGCCGGUUAACGUGCAUUUCGUUAACGGGCACCUGCGGCGCACACCACUUCCCGCAAGCUGGGCCGGCCCAUUAAAUAUUUUCUGUUAUUUGUUAUAUCGCAAAAGGAAACGCGAGAGGAGGGAAUCGAACCACCGACCUACUGGUUUCAACAACACCCCGCUAACCAACCACACACCUGCAUCUGACGCGAUUGAUUACCUUCUUUACUCUUGAUUUACUUACGGUUGUUUCGAACUGUUUUGUUCGUUUUUCUUUUUACGUUUUUUUCUUUUUUCUUUCUUUAUUCUUACACUUUUUGAUAAAUGAACAUUGUGCAAACUUUCUUCAAUUUCGCUUUUCUAUUUGUAAAACUGAUGAACUUUUUUUCAGUACGUGAAACUUUUCUUUUGAAUUUGACGAAUUUUAUUUCAACUUGAUGAACUAUUUUUUCAGAUUUGAUGAACUUUUUUUUGAAUUUGUGAACUUUUUUUUCCUUCUUCCUGUGUCAACGAAUUGUCUUGCAAAUACGUGAACUUUGUCUUCAAAUCGAUGAACUUAUAUUGAAACUUGAUGAACUUUUUCAAAUUCAAUGAACAUUUUUCAAAUUGAUAAACUUUUUUUCAAUUUUUUGAAUAAUUUUUAAAAAUUCAUGAACUUUUUUUAAAGUUUUCGAAUGAACUAUUUUCAAAAUUGAUGAACUUUUUUUUUCAAAUCCGCUGAACUCUUUUCAAAAUCAAUGAACUUUGUUUCUAAUUAUGAUGAACUUUUUUCACAUUCAAUGAACUUUUCUUAGAUUCGUUGAACUUUUUUCAAUUAUGACGAAAUUUUCUUAAAUUUGAUGAACUUUAUUUUCAGAUUCGAUGAACUUUCUUCAAAUUUUGAUGAACUUUUAAAAAACCAAUGAACUUUUUUUAAAUUUGAAAAAAAGUAAAAGUUUUCAUAUUUUUUUAAAGAAGUGCACACAUUUAGCCAAAAAAAGGAAAGAAAAAUGGCAAACAAAACCGUUACAGAAAAAAAGGACGGUUUUGGAAGCUUCCUAGACCGGGGUCUUUGCGAGGUGGACAAAGAAUAAAAGGGCAGCAACGACUUUACUGAGCACAUGUUGGUCCAUGGCGUAGUGGUUCGUGCACCCGUAGUUGUAGGUUCAGGUUCCGAGUUUGAAUCCUGCUCCAAGCGCCUUUUUUCCUCUUUUUACACAGAAAGAGGAAAAAUGGGCCGGCCCGCUAUACGCCCCUGCGAGCGCCAGAAUCAUUAAUGGGCACCGUGAGCGCCGACUAGGAGCUCCCAACGUUUACUUAAUGGCUGAGGUGGAACAAUAUUAGUGGAUCGGUGCCGGAGCAAGAAGCCCCACCCCGUUAAAACCAGGGGCCCGGAUAGGUUUAGAUAGGAAAUUUAUGUCGUAGCUUGUUUACGUAGGUGUAGGAUUAUUGGGCCCAAACUGAUGUUUGUCGCACUUCAUCCUCACGCCUUGCCGCUUCACACGACAUCGCCGUAUCACACGGCACUAUUGGCAUCUCACCGUCCUCGCCGCAUCGCACGACACUCCGACAUCUCGCCUGGCUCGUCGCUUCACACGACGUCUCCGGCAGCUCCCCUUGCACACCUUCGGCCGACGACUUGCCAGCCGUAUACGCAUCGCACGUACACCUUUCGGGCAACAAUAAGCCGCAUUGUACACCUUUUUUGCUCUUUUUACACAGAAAGAGGACAAAUGGGCCGGCUCGCUACACACCCCUGCGAGCGCCAGAAUCAUUAAUGGGCACCGUGAGCGCCGAUUAGGAGCUCCCAACAUGUACGUAAUGGCUGAGGUGGAACAAUAUUAGUGGAUCGGUGCGGGAGCAUGAAGCCCACCCCCGUUAAAAUCAGGGGGGCGGAUAGGUUUAGAUAGGAAAUUUAUGUAGUCUUUCGUAGCUUGUUUACGUAGGUGUAGGAUUAUUGGGCCCAAACUGAUGUUUGUCACGCUUCAUCCUCACGCCUUGCCGCUUCACACGACAUCGCCGUAUCACACGACACUAUCGGCAUCUCACCGUCCUCGCCGCAUCGCACGGCACUCCGGCAUCUCGUCUUACUUGUCGCUUCACACGACGUCUCCGGCAGCUCCCCUUGCACACUUCGGCCGACGACUUGCCGGCCGUAUACGCAUCGCACGUACACCUUUCGGGCUACAAUAAGCCGUAUCGCACGUACACCUUUUUUGCCCUUUUUACACAGAAAGAGGACAAAUGGGCCGGCCCGCUACACGCCCCUGCGAGCGCCAGAAUCAUUAAUGGCCGUCGUGAGCGCCGACUAGGAGCUCCCAAUGUGUACGUAAUAGCUGAGGUGGAACAAUAUUAGUGGAUCGGUGCGGGAGCAUGAAGCCCACCCCCGUUAAAAUCAGGGGGCCGGAUAGGUUUAGAUAGGAAAUUUAUGUAGUCUUUCGUAGCUUGUUUACGUAGGUGUAGGAUUAUUGGGCCCAAACUGAUGUUUGUCACGCUUCAUCCUCACGCCUUGCCGCUUCACACGACAUCGCCGUAUCACACGACACUAUCGGCAUCUCACCGUCCUCGCCGCAUCGCACAGCACUCCGGCAUCUCGUCUUACUUGUCGCUUCACACGACGUCUCCGGCAGCUCCCCUUGCACACCUUUGGCCGACGACUUGCCGGCCGUAUACGCAUCGCACGUCCACCUUUCGGGCUACAAUAAGUCGCAUCGCACGUACCCUUUUUUGCUCUUUUUACACAGAAAGAGAACAAAUGGACCGGCCCGCUACACGCCCCUGCAAGCGCCAAAAUCAUUAAUGGGCGCCGUGAGCGCCAACUAGGAGCUCCCAAUGUUUACGUAAUGGUUGAGGUGGAACAAUAUUAGUGGAUACGGUGUUCCCGCAAGCCACGUCCAUGAAUUGGCAAGAAAUCAUGCAUGGUCUGGAACUGUUAAAACAAGGGGUCAUAUGGAGAGUGGUCGAUGGUAAAAAUGUUAACAUUUGGAGAGAUAACUGGCCCCCAAGAAUUUCGGGACUAAAAAUUAUAGCUAAAAAGCAUCGAACUAGACUGAAGUGGGUGUCGGAAUUAUUCAUGAGCGGGACGAGAAGAUGGGAUGAAAAUUUGAUUAGGCAUUCAUUCUUUCAUCAUGACGCUGAAGAGAUCCUAAACUUACGCAUUCAGUCUGUGGGAGAAGGUGAUCUAGUUGCUUGGCACUAUGAGAAAAGUGGUAUGUUCUCUGUGAAAAGUGCGUAUAGACUGGCUUUAAAUCUCAAGGACAACAGGGGCGAGACAGGAAUAUCCAGUGCUGCUGUUAAUGAGGAAAGAAGACUGUGGGACGUUAUUUGGAAGGCUAAGGUUCCGCAAAAAAUUAGAAUUUUUGCUUGGAGAGUUGCGACCAAUAGUUUGACGGUUCUGGUGAAUAGAGUGACUCACCAUCAAACGGUCUCCAGUAUGUGUACUAUAUGUGGAGUUCAAGAUGAAAAUAUCUUCCACGCUCUGGUGACCUGCCCUAAGGCGCGUGCUUUGCGUAUCGCCUUGGGGGAUGUGUGGAAUAUUCCGAGGGAGGAGUUGUUCAGUUUUACGGGGCCAUACUGGUUUCUCAUCCUGCUUGACCAAUUGGGGUCUUCGGUACGCGAGCAAGUAUUAUUUAUGUUCUGGAGAGCUUGGCAUCUGAGGAACGAUUUAAUUUUUGGAAGAGGGAAAGAAUCGGUGAAUGCGUCUGUUAUCUUCCUGGAUAAUUAUUGGAAGACUUUCUCCACUUCCAACGCUCGUGUGCAAGUGGACCAAAGCAUCAAAGGGAAGGGGGUAAUGGGGAAUGGGGAGAAUCUUAGUCCGCAAAAAGAAAAUGAUCGUGCUGUUUGGAAGCCUCCAGAGCGGGAGUAUAUUAAGAUAAAUGUUGAUGCUAGUUUUGUGGAGAGCUUGAGAUUUGCUAGCGUUGGGGUUGUCGCUAGGAAUCAUCUGGAGAAGUCCUGGUGUCUUCUUGGGAUUUUAUUCGAAUAUGCUCCGGAGCGGAGGAGGCGGAACUUCGUGCGUGCCUCGCCGGGUUGUACAUUGGUAUUUCUCUUCACAAACCAAUUAUUUUGAAAACUAACUGCUCCUUUGCUGCUUCUUUCCUAGCGAAAGAAAUUGUUGACAGGUCUCCUUAUGUGGAUCUAAAAAUGGAAGCGAUCAGCGCCUCCAAGUUUAUUGUUGAUCUCAAGAUUGUUAAGAUUGAUAGGCAGGCUAACAAGGCGGCACAUGAGAUAGCAAAAUUUAGUUUUGAUACCAUGUCCGAUGGUAUUCUGUGUAAUUCUGUUCCGUCCUGCGUGACUAGUUAUGUAAUGAACGAUUGUAAGACUAUUGUUAUUUGAUCAAUAUAUGGAUGGAGUUUUUCAAAAAAAUAUAUUAGUGGAUCGAUGCGGGAGCAUGAAUCCCACCCCCAUUAAAAUCAGGGGGCUGGAUAGGUUUAGAUAGGAAAUUGAUGUAGUCUUUCGUAGCUUGUUUACGUAGGUGUAGGAUUAUUGGGCCCAAACUGAUUUGUCACGCUUCAUCCUCACACCUUGCCGCUUCACACGACAUCACCGUAUCACACGACACUAUCGGCAUCUCACCGUCCUCGCCGCAUCGCACGGCACUCCGGCAUCUCGCCUUGCUCGUCGCUUCACACGACGUCUCCGGCAGCUCCCCUUGCACACCUUCGACCGACGACUUGCCAGCCGUAUACGCAUCGCACGUACACCUUUCGGGCUACAAUAAGACGCACCUAAAAUCACCUAGCUACAUGCAGUACGAAAUUAAACAUGCAGAUAACUAAAUCAACAUUAAAGCUAACAGACCUCAUAUAAAGAAAAGCACACGGUCUUUGUUUCACAGACUAGCAACCCCCAAACCUAAACCACACCCAAAAGCAAGCACACGCUUCAGUCUUCAAAUGUGAGAUGACUUGGAUACUUGGCUAGCUAAUAUACUCUGAAUAUACAAGCAACCUUUUGUAUUUGAAAAAAUAAAAUAAGUAUUAUUCGAAACUUUUUGAAGCUAUAAAACACCUGGACUUCAUAUUUUUUGCGUUUAAAAAAAUAUUGCCAAGCAUAUUUGUCAUAUGCUUGCUUAGCUAGACGGUGGCCUUUAUCAUUAAUCCUUGAGUCGUUACGCUAUAUGUGCAUGCCGCACAUGUUACCACCACGACACGAGGCACCUCAUGGCCCUCGCGCGCUGUGUGUGCCUCCAUUUGGGCACGCCAUGCUAGCCGGCUGUUCACUUAAUUAAGAGAUGCACUGGAAAUGGUCGAGGAGGCGAGGUGGGACCAAAGAGGAGGAAGCUCUGCCCAUUCUGCUCUGUUCGCGAGAGGGCCGAGGGUUGAUCGGUUGAAGGCCGUGGGUAGUGAGCAGCUGCUGUUGGGCUGGGCCGCAUGGAGGAAUGGUAAGCACUGCCGUAAUUUUGUUCACCUCAGUUGUGCUGGCGGUGGGCCUCAUCUGCGAUGGGAGCGAAGGUCCUCCCGGCGUGUCGUGGGGGCAUGUGGACGGGAAAGGGUUCCCCUUGCUGGCGUUUGUUCCGUGGAGGCGUGUACUUACCUGGUCCUUCCUUGUGCUUACUUUGUGUGCUUGUUGUCCGCCUUGAGCUCGCUGCUUCUUCGAUUUCUAUGAACUGCUCCUGCAGGUUACCCCUUCUUCUUUCAGGCAUUGGGAGGUCGUUUCUUCAUGGGCGGCAAGGUUUGCCCGCUGCAGUGUGGCGGGUCACGUGUAUCUGCUCUGCUCUUGUGACCUCACACUAGUAGAAAAAGGGCCAUACGAACCGGUUCGUAAGGACCAUUGGUCCCGUUCCGCGGCAAUGAAGUAACUUGUGCGGUGAAUACUUUCCAAAUCCCGCGAGACAAAGAAAACAAUUACUUGAUAUCGUGAAAUGAACAAAGUUGCCAUAUGGUGCGAUAAUGAUCGAUUCAACUUACUUCUCAAGCAUCUUAGACAUGUUCGCAUAGUCCUCGGGAUCUUUUCGUCUCGAGUCGAAGACGUUUACUAGUCCCUGCUCAAGCUUAAUCUCUAGGAGAAUAUAGUGGAACCUGCGCAUGCAUGCAUAACUCAUCAAUUACAUUAAUUACUAUAACCUCGAGUAAUAAUUAAGGGAAACCGAAUAUGCACAAGACAAUAACACUCACUUGAAGUUGUAAGGAAAGAGUAUUGUAUCUUUGUUUUGAUUUAUUACCAAUAAUCGUAGCAAGUUGUCCUCGGUUUCUUUGGUAUGAAAUGUAACCGUAAAUUCAUCUAUGAGAUUUGUGUUAAUGAACCCAAUAUCAUACAUUUCAUUUUUUCUGCAUUCGACGAUCUUUAAUCUGCAUAAUAUAGUGUGGAUAAUUAUAUAUACAUGCAAUGAAAGAGCUGAGCUAUAUAGAGAGACUUAAUGACAGAAGUAGUACUUACAAACAGUAGCAAGUGACCAUUAAUUUAUCGAGGGCCUUCAGAUUGAAAAACUGGAAGAACUCCUCAAAUGGAACAGACAACUCCUCAAUUCCAACGAGGUCGUGAUGAUCCUCUUUAACUUUCAGCGUCAAAGUAUCUUUUUUUUCUCCCUUGCAAACUUUCUGCAGGUUUCCAUGUACCAAUCAUGGAAUCUUCGCAUCAUCGUUGUUAGAGUAGUUCCAUCUUUUACGAGAGUCUUCCCGUACUCGUAUUUGAAUUUGUCCACCUCCAUUAUAUCAAAAUGUGCAUCGUCGUAAUCUCCAGGAUUGGUACCGGGCAAGAUCCCCGGAUGAUUAGCGACGAUAUCGCUAGACACCUUGAGCGGGGGGCACGAUUGGUUCUCUUAUUCGCCGAGCUGGGGAAUUUUUUCCCAGUUCUUUGUUCUUGUAACCUUUUGUCACUGUAAAUACUUCCCGACCGCUUCGCUUCCUUAUAUGUCUUUUGGUAAUGCGCUCAUAGCUGGUUUGCGGCGGAGACGGUGGUGGUCGCUGCAGGGCAUCCAAAGUGCGCUUCGCUUUCACCGGAUCAAUCUUCUCCUCCGGAGGUGGAUGUCUCUUGGCUCUUUGCGUUUCGAAGUAGUCCUUCACUUGGGCUUGAUAGAUCUCCUCGUUUUCCUCUGCGGUCAUCUCGUAUGGUAACUUCUUUGGAGUCUUGAGAGAUGGACCGUAUCUGUAUUGCCUCCCGCCUCUGGCUGUACUGCUAGACGCCGGAGCAGGCCGAGCGGCUGCGGCUGUUUUCUUCCAUUGCUUACGAGGCGGAGGAGAAGGACUACGAUGCGCCGGAGCAGCCGGAGCGGCGGCGAGUCUCUUCCGCCUUUGCUGACGAGGUGGAGAAGGAGGAGGCUGGCUGGUCCAGCGUGCCGACCUAGGCGGAGUGCCACCACGCACCAGAGAAGGAGGCGGAGUGCCGCCAUGCGUCGGAGAAGGAGGCGGAGUGCCGCCACACGCCGGAGAAGGAGGCAGAGUGCCCUGAUCACUCGCCGGAGGAGCAGACGGAAGAGGAGGCGGAGUGUCCUGACUCGCUAGAGGAGGAGGAGGAGGCGGAGGCGUCUAGUUUGGAAGGUUGAUGAGCUUCUUCCGUCAUAGGCAUGGAGUCUUCAGCGCAGAACCCAGCCUAGUCUCCCCUUCACCAGUAGGGUGGUCAAGCACGAGCUCCUCAAAUCCCUCCGUUAUUUCCUCCACUGUCACCCUACACUAGUAGAAAAGGGGGCAAUGGUCCAGGCCGGGUCAGCCCAUUAGUCCCGGUUCAAUCCAGAACCGGGACCAAUGGGGGCAUUGGACCCGGUUCGUGAGCCCGGGGGGCGGACGGGCCACGUGGGCCAUUGGUCCCGGUUCGGCUGGACCUAUUGGUUCCGGUUGGUGGGACGAACCGGGACCAAUGCGCCUCGCUCCUGGCCCACCACCAUUGGUCCCGGUUGGUGGCGUGAACCGGGACCAAAGGCUGCCCUUUAGUCCCGGUUCGUGGCACGAACCGGGACCAAUUAGUUGCCUAUAUCUACCCCUCGCCCGCGAGCAGAGCACUCCCAGUGCUCUGUUUUUCGUGGCCGGCAAGGGGAGAGCUUUGUGAUGCUCUAGCUCACCUCUUAUGCACACGAGGUGUUCGAUGGAAUGCCCGAGCCACGCUACUUAAGCUUUCUCCUCUCCAAGCUCGACUUCCAAGCUCCAUUUUCCUCAAUAUUUGUCUAGGUUUAGCGGUCCAUCACGUCCCGUCCCCGUCUUCACCGCCGUCGAUCGCCCGCGCCGAUCUCGUCGCCGGCACCACCGUGGUGAGCCUCUUGUUCUUAUCUUCUUUCUGAAAGGAAAAAAAAUCUUACUUGUAUAUUUAUAUAGAUACUUGUAUAAUUUUCUUACUUUUAUUAUUGCAUCUUAUAUAGUGCGAUGGUUUUGGUAUCCGCCCCCGUCGGCCCUCGUCCUGUCUAUGAUUCAGAUGUGGUAUAUAUUAUCUUUUCAUAACUAUUGGUUCAUUUAUUGUUUAUGACAAUUAUGCCGACCAACGUGACAUAGAUUUUAUUUAUCUAGGAGGUUGUUGAACCUGAAAUUCCAACCGACCCUAUUGUCGAGAGGUUAAAUUUAGUUGAAGAAGAAAACAAUUUGUUGAAGGAAAAAAUUAGAAAAAUUGAGGAGGAGAAGAUGAUAUUGGAGUUGCAUGUUGUGGAUGUUGUCGAUGAUCACAAGAUCAAGAUGGAUGCAAUGCGCUUGAAGAUUAGAAAGAUUAGAAAAUAUGCCAUUCAUACCGAGGCUUGGUAUCAUUAUGCCGUUGGAUCAGUUGUUACAUUGGUUGCGAUUAUGAUCGCAUUUGUUUUCUCAUUGAAAUGUUUUACAUAGUUUUAGUGUAUGUUUUAAUUAAUUUAGAUGCUCUGCAGAGCUUUAUGUUGUUAGAUGAGAACUAUGUAUGUACUUUGGUUUUAAUGUGAUGAUGAACUUCUAUUAAUUUGGUCACUUAAUUAUCUAUUCAUGAUGUUCUGUAAUGAUUUUUGACACACUUAAUUAUAUAUAAUGCACGCAGAUGAACCGGCAAUGGAUGUACGGUUCAAGACACACCUCCGAGUACAUUAAGGGCGUGCAUGAUUUUCUCGAAGUGGCUGAGGCAAACAAGCAGAAUGGUUUUAUGUGUUGUCCAUGCCCUAUAUGUGGGAAUACGAAGUCUUACUCUGACCGGAAAAUCCUCCACACCCACCUGCUUUACAAGGGUUUCAUGCCACACUAUAAUGUUUGGAUCAGGCACGGAGAAAUAGGGGUUAUGAUGGAAGACGGCGAAGAAGAAGAGUACGAUGACAACUAUGUGCCCCCUGAAUACGGUGAUGCUACUGAAGAUCAAGAGGAACCAGACGAUGUGCACGAUGAUGCUGCCACGGGCGAAGCUGCUGAAGAUCAAGAGGAACCAGACGAUGUGCCCGAUGAUGAUGAUCUCUGUCGGGUCAUUGUCGAUGCGAGGACGCAAUGCAAAAGUCAAAAGGAGAAGCUGAAGUUCGAUCGCAUGUUAGAGGACCACAAAAAAGGGUUGUACCCCAAUUGCGAAGAUGGCAACACAAAGCUCGGUACCGUACUGGAAUUGCUGCAGUGGAAGGCAGAGAAUGCUGUGCCUGACAAAGGAUUUGAGAAGCUACUGAAAAUAUUGUAGAAGAAGCUUCCAAAGGAUAACGAAUUGCCCGACAGUACAUACGCAGCAAAGAAGGUCGUAUGCCCUCUAGGAUUGGAGGUGCAGAAGAUACAUGCAUGCCCUAAUGACUGCAUCCUCUUCCAUGGUGCGUACAAGGAUCUAAACGCAUGCCCGGUAUGCGGUGCAUUACGGUAUAAGAUCAGACGAGAUGACCCUGGUGAUGUUGACGGCGAGCCCCCCAGGAAGAGGGUUCCUGCAAAGGUGAUGUGGUAUGCUCUUGUAAUACCACGGUUGAAACGUCUGUUCAGAAACAGAGAGCAUGCCAAGUUGAUGCAAUGGCACAGUGAGGACUGUAAGAAAGACGGGAAGUUGAGAGCACCCGCUGACGGGUCGCACUGGAGAAAAAUCAAGAGAAAGUACUGGGAUGAGUUUGCAAGUGAGCCAAGGAACGUAUGGUUUGCUUUAAGCGCGGAUGGCAUUAAUCCUUUCGGGGAGCAGAGCAGCAAUCACAGCACCUGGCCCGUGACUCUAUGUAUGUAUAACCUUCCUCCUUGGAUGUGCAUGAAGCGGAAGUUCAUUAUGAUGCCAGUUCUCAUCCAAGGCCCUAAGCAACCCAGCAACGACAUUGAUGUGUACCUAAGGCCAUUAGUUGAAGAACUUUUACAGCUGUGGAAUGAAAACGGUGUACGUACGUGGGAUGAGCACAAACAGGAGGAAUUUAACCUAAAGGCGUUGCUGUUCGUGACCAUUAACGAUUGGCCCGCUCUCAGUAACCUUUCAGGACAGACAAACAAGGGAUACCACGCAUGCACGCACUAUUUACUUGACACCGAUAGUAUAUACCUGGCAAGCUGCAGGAAGAAUGUGUACCUGGGCCAUCGUCGAUUUCUUCCGACCAACCAUCAAUAUCGAAAGAAAGGCAAGCAUUUCAAAGGCGAGGCAGAUCACCGAAAGAAGCCCGCCAUGCGUACCGGUGAUCACGUACUUGCUAUGGUCAAUGAUUUACACGUAAUCUUUGGAAAGGGUCCCGGCGCACUAGCUGUUCUGAGUGACGCUCGGGGACACGCACCCAUGUGGAAGAAGAAAUCUAUAUUUUGGGACCUACCCUACUGGAAAGACCUAGAGGUCCGCUCUUCGAUCAACGUGAUGCACGUGACGAAGAACCUUUGCGUGAAUCUGCUAGGCUUCUUGGGCGUGUAUGGGAAGACAAAAGAUACAGCUGAGGCACGGGAGGACCUACAACGUUUGCACGAAAAAGACGGCAUGCCUCCAAAGCAAUAUGAAGGUCCUGCCAGCUAUGCUCUUACCAAAGAAGAGAAGGAAAUCUUGUUUGAAUGCCUGCUUAGUAUGAAGGUCCCGACUGGCUUCUCGUCUAAUAUAAAAGGAAUAAUAAAUAUGGCAGAGAAAAAGUUUCAGAACCUAAAGUCUCAUGACUGCCACGUGAUUAUGACGCAACUACUUCCGGUUGCAUUGAGGGGGCUUCUACCGGAAAACGUCCGAUUAGCCAUUGUGAAGCUAUGUGCAUUCCUCAAUGCAAUCUCUCAGAAGGUGAUCGAUCCAGAAAUCAUACCAAGGCUAAGGAGUGAUGUGGUGCAAUGUCUUGUCAGUUUCGAGCUGGUGUUCCCACCAUCCUUCUUCAAUAUCAUGACGCACGUCCUAGUUCAUCUAGUUGACGAGAUUGUCAUUCUGGGCCCCGUAUUUCUACACAAUAUGUACCCCUUUGAGAGGUUCAUGGGAGUCCUAAAGAAAUAUGUCCGUAACCGUGCUAGGCCAGAAGGAAGCAUUUCCAUGGUCCAUCAAACAGAGGAUGUCAUCGGGUUUUGUGUUGACUUCAUUCCUGGCCUUAAGAAGAUCGGUCUCCCUAAAUCGCGGUAUGAGGGGAGACUGACUGGAAAAGGCACGCUUGGAAGGGACUCAAUAAUAUGCAGGGACGGAUAUUCUUGGUCUCAAGCACACUACACAGUUCUACAGAACUCUACCUUGGUGACCCCGUAUAUCGAUGAACACAAGAACAGUCUGUGCUCCAAACACCCGGAGCAGUGCGACGACUAAAUUACAUGUGAACACAUCAGGACUUUUAGCAGUUGGUUGGAAGCACGUAUCAGAGGUGACAACACUGUUUGUGAUGAGCUGUACUUGUUUUCCAGGGGACCAUCUUUAACUGUAUUGAUUUGAAAAGGAUACGAGAUAAAUGGGAAUACAUUUUACACAAUUGACCAAGAUCAAAAGAGCACCAACCAAAACAGCGGUGUCCGCUUUGAUGCAACAACCGAGAGGGGAAAGGACACAAAUUAUGGUUACAUAGUGGACAUAUGGGAACUUGACUACGGAGUAGAUUUUAAGGUCCCUUUGUUUAAGUGCAAAUGGGUCAAUCUGUCAGGAGGCGGGGUACAGGUAGACCCACAGUACGGAAUGACAACAGUGGAUCUGAAAAAUCUUGGGUACACUGACGAACCGUUCGUCCUAGCCAAUGAUGUGGCACAGGUUAUCUAUGUGAAGGACAUGUCUACCAGACCGAGAAAGAGAAAAGAUAAGGAAGCGAAUACAUCAUACGAUGAGCCAAAGUGCCACAUAGUUCUUUCAGGAAAAAGGGACAUCAUGGGAGUGGAGGACAAGACAGACAUGUCUGAAGAUUAUGAAAAGUUUCAUGAAAUUCCUCUCUUCAAAGUCAAGGCUGACCCCAGCAUCCUGAUAAACGAUGAAGAUUAUCCAUGGUUACGGCGCAAUAAGCAAAUGACGCAAGCGAAAAAAAAGUGAAGACUUUCUCCCGCAACUAUUAUGAUGAUACCAUGCCAACUUUGUAACUGACGAGUAUGAUACCAUUGUCCGUUUUGUACAUGCACAUGCUAUGUGGGUCAAUUUAUGAUACCAUGCCAACUUUCAACUUUUUCAGAGUUCAUUUGAAAUGCUUUAAUGUCUUAUGGUUCGGCCCUCGUAAUAAUUAAAAAUAGCAACAAUAAGUAUUUUGUUGUAAGUAGAAACAAAAUAAAAUAAAUAAAGCAAUAAAGAAAACAAAAAAACAAAAAAAGUGUUUUCAAAUUUGAAAACUAAUGGCACUAACAAAAAGUUUAUAAUUUUCCUAAAACUAAAAGCAAAAACAAUUAAAAAAUAAAGCAAAAAACAAAAGAAAAUAAAUAAUGCAGAAAACAAAAGAAAAAAAAC